GUGUUGGUUUGAUUGUUUAUAUUGACGAUAUGAUUUGUGUAUGUUUCGGUUCCUAUGUGCAGAAAAGAUUAUGAUGCGAAGAUAAUUGUUGAUGUGGAUAUUUCUUCUUUUCUCCAUACCUGGUUAUUGUUUGCAAGUUAUUUUUGCCGAAGAUCGAAAUGCCUAGGAUUAUUUAGGAUCACUUUCUGGUUUGGUUUAGAUUUGGUAGAUUGUUCACCAUGUAGGUAGAAUAUUUUCUGGUUGAUUUGUGGUGUUAGGUAUUGGAAUAAGCAGAAUCAAGGCUUCAGAUCGAAGAUAUUUAAAUUGGUUACGUUGGCCUUCUGUUUGAUUGGGGAAUUUGUGUUUUUAAUGAAUUGCGAUGCAGCUUCACACAGAUCUGAUGAUUGGUUCAUUGAUUGAUUUCAGCUCUAGUAGGAAAGAGAGGGUGAUUCCUGAUAUUAACGCUGUGUUGCGGAUAGCUUGAUAAUCGAUUUAAUAUGAUAUUUUUGGAUUAUUGCAAUUUAUUCCUCUUUUCACGUCUCCACGGAGACAUCCAUUCAAGUUCGGUGAUUUUAAAUGAGUUUCUCUCUCUUGGGUCAAGUGUUAUUUCGUCCCUCCUUCAACAAGUGUUCACAGUUUGAUCAUUUUUUUAAAUCUUUAAACUCUGUUUAAAAUGAUUGUAUGAUGGCUAGCAAAAACGGUUCUUUUGGUGGUUCCUUUCUGUAUCUUUUCAAGAUUGGUGGUUUGUGGUUUGAUUUUCAGGAUCAGGGAGCAUUUUAUGUAAUCCUUUUAAACCUGUCGGCAGGGUAGCGAGGGAGAUUUUCUUUUACCCUCUUUUUUGUGCCCUCGUUAAUUUAAUUGGGCAUGUAGAACUAGUUUCUGUGUUUUGAGCUAACUGUUCGAAGAGAUGUUGACUGUGUAUGAUAAUAACCUAAUGUGAUAAUAUUUAAAUUUUUAGUGCCUCCAAUGUAUCAUACUAUGGAGCAUAGUGUGAUCAAACAUGACGUUGUUUGGGAAGUAUUCUCCUUUUUUGGUCUGGAUUCUCUUAAAAAUGAGAAAUAUCUGAGCUUUGUAAGGCAUCCUGAUCUUCUGCUUCUUUAUCAGGAAGAUAGAUAUAACAAAUUUUACUUAAAAGACAAGAAUUUAUAGUACUUCCGAGUAUAAUAGUAGUAAAUGAGUUUUAGAUGUUUGUUUUCCAGGAUCUGUAUGUCAUGGACCAAUAGUGAUGCAUAAGUGGAUUUGAGUGGGAUUCCAGCGACUGGCAGCUUGUGCCUUGUGGAUAGGCACGAAUAGGAAGUCUUUGUUUGAGUUUUGGUGUAAGAUGUGUUUGAUACAAUGGUAUUCAGUCCUUCAUAGAAGAUGCUCUUUUUUGAUACAAUGGACUUGAGAUGAACUGUAUAUAGGGAGAAGUUGAUGUGAAAGGGAGUAUUCAUCGUCUUCUUUUCAUGUUGGUGGUUUUUAGGUGUAAGCUUUUUUUUUGUCUGUUUCUAUUGGUCCACAGGUGGUGUUGUGGUUAAUUCUGAUAACCAUAGUAAUUUUUCAGGAUUCUGUUAAUGUAGUGGACUAAUGGAUUUGGGGAGAGACAUAUAGAUAGAGAUGUUCUUUUUGCUGCACUCAUUUGGUGUUAGCUACAGCUUAGAUGUAAGCUUGAAUAUUCUAUCUACAACUCAAUAUUUGAUAAUAUCUGUACAGGCUUGAUCCGGAAGUCUUUUUGUACCUUGGUUUUUGGUUGAGUUUUUCUACUUGAGGUUCAAAUUUGUUCUUCUCAAGACCUGUCCAUCAACUUUGAUUAUUCCAAGCAUUGAUGAUUCCCUGGUGUGAUUUCCAGGUCCAUGGAGCAUUUUGGUGGUUGGAUGCUAUGUUCACGGUGAAACCUGGGUAGUCAGGAAGAUUUUUCUUUUAUCUCUCCUUAUUUUUCUGCCAGUUAAAUUUAUACCUCCAUACACUUUAGUCACACAAAACUAGUUUCUGAGUUUCUAUGUGUGUGUUUCCAGCUUUUGACGAAGAUAUGGAGCAGGGAGUUUUCUUGCCUCUUCUGAUGUUUGCUCUUCCCCAUUCUUGUGUGAAUAUUGUUAUAAUACUAGAUUUUCUUUAUCAGGUUUCCUUGGAUCCAGUGGAGCCUUCUCCCUCUCUCUCUCUUCCCUUUUUUUUGCUUGUUUGAGAAAAAUAUUUGGCUCCUUUCCCUUAAUUAUCUCUUCUUAAAUGUGUACAGACAUACACACAUUGCAUAUCCAAUCCUUUAUUUAAUCUCUGCUCCUUCUCAUCUUGGUUAUGAAAUUGAGCAGGCUUUUCUAAUGAUUCCACGUUUGGAUUUGUUUGUCGUUCCUUGUGUUUAGUAAGCUUGCUAUGCUGAUAAUAUAUUUUGUUCAAUCCACUUUGAGUUCUACAGUAUCAUUUAAAGCAAUGAUGUUUUGUCAUUGACCUUUCAAACUUCUUUUGUGUUAGGGGUAGGAGCAAUUUAGCACUGUUCCAUCUUGGUUAUGAUCUUUCCUCAUGUUUUUGCUGAUUAUCUAUUUUAGGAUGUUUGUUUGGUUAUUGGUUCAAAGAUCAUCAUCUGAAGCUACAUUUGGGUUUUUUUNNNNNNNNNNNNNNNNNNNNNNNNNNNNNNNNNNNNNNNNNNNNNNNNNNNNNNNNNNNNNNNNNNNNNNNUUUUUUUAUUAAGUUGGUUUUUGCUUUUUCCUUCUAGUAAAGUGUUAUUUGUACUUCCAUCAACAAGUAAUCUGUGUUUUUUUACGUCAUGUUAAAUCCUUUUUCGAGGCGUGGAUUAGGAUCAUUCUUGGAUAUCAUCAUCAUUACUCUUUGCUUAAGUUCCUUUGUCCUCAGUAUUGGUGGUUUGUGGUGUGAUUUCCAGGAUUUCCAGGAUAGUGGAGCAUUUAUGUAGUUCAAUCCCAUGUGAAUUGUGAAGGCUGAAACUUGUCAACAGGGUGUGGUCAGGGAGAUUUUUUUUAACCCUAUUUUGUGCUUCUCUUAAUAUAAAUUUAUAUAUUCAUAGUUACUAGGCCAUAUAGAACAAUUUUCUGAUUAUGUAUGUUUGCAUUUGCUGUCAACUUAUUGUUUUGAGGACGAUGUUUACUAGGAAUGAUAAGGGAGUUUUCUUGCCUUCUAGAAUAUUGAUUCUAUUCGGUUUAUGCCGGUAAAAUCAUGGAGUGGGUACUCUCUAACUUUUAGAGUUUUUUUGGUCUCCUGAUCCAGGUUCAUAUACCCCAGUUUUUUUUGCCUAAUCAAAUAUAAGGAGCCUAGUGUGAUAAAAUUAUGGUAUUGAUUUGGAAGUAUUCUCUCUUUUGCCUGGAUUCUCUUAAAAUUCAGAGAUAUUUGAGCCCCAUUCCCUUGAGUUUCUGCAUCCUUAUCUUCUGCUAGGCUUCGAACUUGCAUUUGCUUUUCCAAUGAUGCCAUAAUUGUUUUAGGGACUUGGAGGAGUGCAACAGGCUUGAUUAGGAUGUUAGUUCCUCAGUCAGAGUUCAUAAAUUUUAAUAUAAGAAUGUGAUGUCCUUGUGUAAGAACAGUAAUAAAUAAGUUCCAGUCUCUUUCUUUUUUCAGGAUCUGCAUGAGUGCAUUGACAAAUUCAUUGUUUAUGCUUGGUGAAACCUGUCGGCAGGGUGGUCAGAGAGAUUUUUGUAUUUUGCACUUCUGUUGAUUAGAUUACUAUAUUCAUAGUCAUAGGCUUGUAUAAUUAUUUUCUGAUUAUGUAUGUAUGCAUGUGUUUUUAACUUAUUGUUUGCGGCAGAUGUUUACUGGGAAUGAUAAGGAAGUUCUCUUGCCUCUGGGAAGUGUCCUCUCUUGUGCCUUGGUUCUCUAAAAUGUGAGAGAUAUCUGAGCUGCAUGCACUUUGGAUCGGUAGUGAUGCAGGAAGAGAGCAAUGUAAUUAAAGUGUUGGCCAUGAUUUCUUGUUAUGUUGGUAUGGUGCAUGAAGCUUAAGGUGAUUAAGUAGGAUGUUGCCUUUUGUCUUGUCUCUGGGGUCCUAUGGCUGGGUGUUAACCUGAGUGUGCCUCCAGUGAAGUCUUUGUGGCAUCUUAUGGAUGGUCAUGAACGGGAAGUUAUUGCUUUGGUUUUGGUUGAAGGUGUGUUGGAUACAAUGAUAUUCUGCCCAUAAGUGUCUACCCAAAGAUGCACUGUGAAAUUUCCAGUCUCCCCUAAAAUAAGCUUCUGGAUGGGGAAGUUCACGAUUAUGGAGGGAGUAAUUGUUGUCCUCUGCUCAUAUUGUUGAGGUUCUGCGAGUAGUAUCAGAGUGUUGUGUUUCUGCUUUUAAUAAUCUUGAAUUCUUUUUGCAGUUUCUGUUCUCAUUCAUGGCGUGGUGCAGAGCAGUGUUCAAAUGUCUUGUUGGAUUUUCAUUUUUAUUUGUUCUUUUAUUGGUUCAUAGACGUUUGGUACUUGGUAGUCCUUGAUAUAAUGGAGACAUAUUUUGGAAGAAAGAGUUUUUGCGUUGGUUUGUUGUUGGCUUCUUGAUACCGGCAUUGACAAGAGCUUGCACCUUCUUUCAAUGGUGGAAUAUCAGAGAAUAUGCGCUCAGGCUUUACCAGGAAGUCUUUUGUGCCUUGGUUUUUGGAUGGAAGUAUUUCUAAUUGACUUUCAGAUUUCUAGUACUUAAGCAUAGCAAUUUGGAUGCAUGAUUGAUUUGUGGUGUGAUUUCCAGGAUUGUGGAGCGUUUUUUUCUUGUUCAAUCCUGUGCACAUGGUGAAACCUAUUUGUUGUAAUUCUGAUGUCUUCCCUUACCAGGUUUUCUUGAUUCCAGUGUGUAGUCAUGGAGCAUAUCGAGAUCAAUUGAAGAUUCUAAUCAAGAAGUACCCUCAUUCUUUUUUCUCUAACCUUUUUAAGGAACUUUUAAAGUCUAAGCUGCAUGUGUAUAUAAAAUUCUCCCAUUGAUGUUUCAACUACUUAUAUACCCUACCAAAGAACAUGAUUGCUAUACUUUUAUCUUUUGCAUGUCCCUAGAAGUUAUAUGCACGAGUGCAUUGAAAAGUUCAUGGGCUUUGCAUUGACCAAUAGUGAUCCAGGGUGUUGUGUUUGAUAAGAUAAAUGUGUUGGCUGUGAUUUCUUAUUAUGUGAUCAAGUAGGAGACUGCCUUUUGUUUCUAUUGUCUCUGGGUCCUGUGGCUGGCUUCUGCUCUUAGUACCAGUGUUGUUCUGCUAUCCAGCCUUCCAGUGGUUCUUCUUGCAGCAGCUUGUGAACAGGAAAGUCUUUGCCAAGUUUUUGGUUUAACAUAUGCUCUGAUACAAUGAAAUUGUGUCCAUCAUAUUCCAUUAUGUGGUCUCACUCAAAGAUGCACUUUCUUAUGUCUCCAGGUUCUCUUGAGAUGGACUGUAUUAGAGGGAGAAGUUGAUGUUUGUGAAGGGAGUAUUUAUUGUCCUCAGCUCAUGUUAUGUUGGGGGAUUUCGGGUGUAGUUUUCUUGUUUGUUCUGGGUUCCAUCAAUGUAGUGGACAUAACAGGUUGUGUUGAGAUUUGCAUUCAUUUGGUGUCGGCUCUUUGGUUAGAGAUGUGAGCUUGCAUCUUCUACUACUCAUUAUUUGCAAAUAUGUGCACAGGCUUGAUCAGGAAGUCAUCUGCACCCACCUUGUUCUUUGGUUGAAUUUUGUUCUUCUAAAAUACUGAAGUAUUUGGGGUCCAUCAACGAUGAUUUUGUGGUGUGGUUUCCAGGGUCAUGGAACAUUUUUGUGGUUGAAAUCCUAUGUGCAUGGUGAGAGCUGUUGGCUGGUUAGGUUAGUUCGUGGAGACUUUUUCAUUUCUUUUUUUCUGGCAACCAAAUUUAUAUUUCUGUACUCAUUAGGCACAUUGAAUUUCUUGGUCUGUAUUUUUGUGUGUCCCCAGCUUUUUAUUUGAAGAGGAUGUUUAAGUAAGAAUGAUCAGGGAGUUUCUCUUGGCUCUUCCUAGUGAAUGUUGUUAUAAUUUUGAGAUCUUUCCUUGACAGGUUUCCUUGAUUCCAGUGUUAAAUUGUGGAGCAUAAUGGUAUCAAUUGGUGAAGGUCAAGAACUACUAUGUUUUUUUUUGGCUGUUUGAGAAAUAUAAUUGUGAUGCUGAAUGGGAACAGUUGAUGGUGCUCAUCUUGGAAGUGUUCUCUCUCUUUUUUUUUUCCUUCUUUUCGUGGCUGUUUGAGAAAUAUUUUGCACCGUUUUUUUUUGGGGUCUCCCUUAGUUUGCUGUUUGAGAAAUAUGUCGUCUUUAAUUUGAUCUAUCCCCUCAUCGUCUUGGCUAUGAGCUUGCACUUGCUUUUUUCCUGCGACUCCAUGUUGUGUUGUUUGAUUUAUGGUUCCCCUUAGUAAUGCUGUAUGGGCAUGUAAAUUGUAUUUUGCUCAAUAUGCUUUGCAUUAUGUGCAUGAGAUACCAUUUAAAGCAAUAAAAUCUCUUCUCAUUGAUCUUUCACAUUGAUCUUUCAAUUUCAUUUUUAGAUGUUUCAACUUCUCUUUCCUAAUUCUUAAAAAGGCUUGGCUAAUAUAGGCGUUUUAGCAUGUUAAAAUUUCAGAUUUAUUGAAGGUUUACCAACUGUGAUGUUUUGAGGAUUGAUGAUUUGUGGUGUGAUUUUCAGGAUUGUGGAGCAUUUUUUUUGUAUCCCAUGUGCAUGGUGAAACCUGUUGGCAGGGUGCUCAGGGAGAAUUUUUUUUUUUUACUAUCUCUAGUUUUGUCUGGCAAUUAAAUUUAUGCAUCUCUAUUUAUUUAGGCACAUAGAUUAGUUUCUGAGCUUGCAUUUUUGUAUGUAUUUCCAGCUUGUUAUUUGAGGAGAACGUUAAUCAGGGAGAACUCUUGCCCUUUCUAAUAUCAGCUCUUACCUUUAUAUAAAUGGAAUUCUUGAGUGAGUAGGGUUGUAAUUUUGGGAUCUUUCCUUAUCAGGUUCUUUCUUUUUUUGGUGUCACUUUUGUGUUUUUGGUCUUUUGAACUUAUUUCCAAAUCUUUGAAAAGAUCUUUUUUUUUCUCCCUUCCUUUCUUGGACUUUCAUUUUUGGAAAAUUUGCUAAUAUUUUAGUACAUUAAUGUAUUGCACUUGGGUAUGACGAAUUUGAUAGGAAAGUAGGAGUAAGUACUCCAUCUUCUUUAUGAUCUGCUUUUCCAGCUUUUUCAGGACAGCACGAAGUGUAAAUUGUGAUAUCAGAAACCCAGUUUAAGGAGCUCAGUUGCAUGGGGUUCUCUUGCUGCAAAUAUAAGGUUAUUUACGUUUAAGCAUUAAUUCCUGGUUUUCUUGCUGGCUUUAGUGUGAGCUUGAGUUUCUUCAAGGAGUUGUUUUGACAGCAUGUGGAUUGGGAUGAACAGGAAGUUCUUGCAAGUGUCUUCAGUUUGAGGUGUUCAAAAUUUUUUCUUGACAACAGGAAUGUGGGUUGGAUACCCCUUAGGCUCUAAGUGUCCUGCGAUAUUCUUCUGCCUUCUCCAAACAGCACAGCAGCCAGACAGACACAACCUUCUCCAAACCGCAGCCAUCGUUCGAGUCUCCAACACCAAUGCCUCCACAGGGUAUGUCUCGUCUCAUAUCCUCUUUCUUGUUCUUCCUUCUUCGCACUUCUCCUGAUCUCCUUCUUCUUCUCCGCCCUUCUUCAGUUCUUCUCCAGUUUCCUCCCUUCCUUUCCUCUCAUUAUUCUUCUCUCCACAUCAUUGUAUGUCUCCACUCUCCAGCCAAUCUCCAAACAUAAUGGGUGCUGUUGUUAUGAAUCUUGUGAUAAAUCAUGAAUUUCAAUGUUUGUUUAGAAAUUUAUUAUAAUGGGUUUUGUUGAUUUAUGAUUUGUUGUUCAUUUAUUUAUGAGAAUAUUUGUUUAUUUAUUAAGAACAACACUGAAUGUAUCAUGAGUGUUAUUGAUUUUAAAUUGCUACUUAUUCAUAAUUUAUUUUAGUGGCAUUGAUGAUGUUGAAGUUAGUCAACUAUGUGAAUAUUUAUAUUAUAUAUAUUUAUAUGUAUAUAUUUAAAAUAUCUAAAAAUUUUAGCUUCUUGUCGCCCUUUUAAAAAAGUCAUCUCGCUUCUUGCCUCUCUCCUAGGGUGAUAGGAGAUCUUGUUGCCUUAGUGUUGCCUCUAGCCCAAACUACAAAGAUCAACACUGCCAGAGUUUUAAUACAGUGAUGUUGUGACCAUAAUCCUGUAAUUUAUUUUGCUUUAUUGUUGGUUGCAUUGUGCAUCCAAUUUUAAGUUCUUAAUCAAGAGUUGCAUAUGUCUCCAGGUUCCCCACACAAUUUGAUCUCGUUAUUGUUUGGCUUGUUAUUUGUGAUGGAGCAUCUUUAGACGGUCUACAUACUGUGUCAACCAACUUCAGCUGUUAACAUGGGUUUGCAAGUCUCAUCCUUUUCUCUCUUUGGUCCGUUCCCACUGUUAUGCAGUUCCCGCAUGUUCUGAAAUAACAAGCGUUUCCUAUAUUUCUGGUGGUUUGCUGACUGGGUGGCAUAUGGGUUGGAAUAUAAGUGCAAGUCUUGUCCUCUUCUUUGGUCCAUGUCCAGGUUUAGCUGCUGCAAUUGGAAACUAGAGAUGUGAAGAGAAUCCUGAUUUAACUUUUUGGUUCAUGCUCCUACUCUCAAUCUGUAUUGUAUUGCGAUUUUAAGUCUGCAUGAACCGGUUUCCUUCUCUGAGCUUGCUUCCCUCUCUCUGCAUGCGUCUGCAUUGAUGAUAAGCAAUUGAGGGUGUCUGUCCCCUUCUCACAUUCACAUUUCUUUUACUGUAAUGGAAUAGAAGCUGAAAGUUGUAAUUGCUUCUCAGCUAUGAUCUUGUUCCUUCAGUGAUGUUCAGUGAGGGAUAAGGCACAAUUAGGCUUCAAGAAGGUGGGUGUAUUUUCUGGUUUUGCACUAGUGUAUUGGUGUUUUCUCACGUGUAGUUAGCUGGUUUCAAGAUGUUGGGAAGGAGAACAGAUGUCUUUUGAUGUGUUGUUCUGUUGCUGCAUCUGUAUUUUCUGGUUGUGGACUAGUGGUGUUGGUCUUUUCUGUGCCACGAGUGCUGAUGAUUUUGCGUAUUUGUUUUUUUUCCCGAGUUCUUUUUCUUCCUUUAGUGGUCUUCAUUUGUAUGGUUUUUAAUGCAUGCAACUCCGCCUGUGUUAUCUAGUGCACAGCCGGUCUCAAGCCCGGAUAAAGGAGGAGAGGCUGCAAAUUGUUUGAACUGAUGCUUGGUAGGUGAUAGUCAUUGCCUGACGCUUUGAUUUGGGAGCUUUCAGCUAACUCAUCUGUUACUUCUGAUGAUGAUGCAUUGCCUUUAUUUAAAUUCACAGACUUCUUUAGAAUCAAAGAUUUUAUAAGAAUUCACCUAUUAAAUUCGUCUUUGGAAUGAAAGGAUGUCUUUUUAACCUGAAAAAUCUGAGCACAGUGUACUUUGCAAAGCCAUUGCCCUCAGCAACCUGAAUGCCUAUUUUAACUCCCCAGACCGUUAAUAGCUCCCUUGCUGCAUUCUUUAUAGCGACUGCAAUGAACUGUUGCCCUCUGCAAACAACGUAAAGAUGCAUAUCAAGGGACCCAGCUAGGGUUGAUGCUAGGGUGUAUCUUGUGUAGUUACUCGAAGCACAUGUGCAAGAGACAGCACGAAGCACAUGCACAUGCACAAGAAACCUAAUAAGCUUCGAUGUGAAUACUGCAGGCGUUCUUGAUCAAUAAUCUCUUCUUAACUCGUUUAAUUUUUAAAUCAAUUUUACCUUAAAUUUAAUAAUAUAUAUUUAAAUCCAGUUUAUUAGAGUGCAAUCAGCCCAAAUACUCAAAUAUUUCAUGGGUUGCCAGGGAUGUGUUAUAGAAUCAAACAGCUGUGAGAUAGUGGCAAAAAUACAUAAUCUUGUUAGUUGAUUACCAGAUUAAUAGAGUUAGUAUUAUAUCAACAACAACUACAUUUAUUUAGAUUUGAGGUUUAGGAAUCCACCCCGGAUGUGGAUUAGGUAGCCAAAACCUUUAUUCAUGGCAACAGAUGUAUUAAACUGAUCCUUUUAACAAAUGAGAAGCACAGCCCAAUAUCAAAACCAAAAGCAUACUACUUGAAACAUAUUUCAUCUCUGCAUGAUGCUUUGUCGGAUUAUAUUCAUCACUGCAGUUUCAGUAUCCAUCCUGCUGGUGAUUCUCUUAUCGGUAUUUUCUCCAUUACCUCGCAAGGCUUCAUCAAAGGAUCUCUCCAGGCCCUGGGUGGCACUCUCACUCUACAUUCAGCAACCUCACAUCUCAAGCACUAACGUGCAGCAGCCAGCUGCAUGGCCAGAUUCUGGAGCGUUUAUCUUCCAUCGCACUCUCACAGAAGGACCUGAGAACACUUCCAGGGUUGUUGGGAAGGCCCAGGGUUUCAUUAUUCCGAUUGAAAAUUUUGCACGUUCUGGUUUCAAUAUUAUUCAUCUCUCAUUCGAUACACCUGAGUACUCCGGCAGCCUGAAUGUUCAGGCCAGGCAUGUUGCACAAAGAGAUAGAGAAGAACUUACGGUGGUUGGUGGGACUGGUUCCUUCGCGUUUGCUCGUGGGCUUGCUGUUUUUGCUCGGAGGGAUGAUCUUCCGGCAACUUACUAUGUAAAGCUUCAGCUCAGAUUUCCAAAUCGAUCUCAAAUAAUUCCAGGAUGAGGUUGAGUUGUUUGUCCAUGCUUGUGAAGGUUUUCUUCUUGAGAUUGCAAAGUCCAGUUCUGAAAAGAUUUAUCGAGUCAAAUUUAGAUGAAAACGAAGGAUUAUAUAUAUGCAAGUUUAAUUAAUUGACCUUUUAAUCUUUACAAGAAAUUAAAGCCAUGUAUUUUAACAUCAAAUAUUUUUUAUGAUGUGUGCCUUGAUUUUCUCUAUUUGUGAAUAUACGUGGUGAAAUGAUCCGAAAAUAUCCGGAAACUGGACCGUUAUCCGCACUAGUUUCAGACUUCAGAUAUACUUUUUUUGUAAAUAAUAAAAUUUUAAUUUUAUAUAACCUAUUUUAUAAUUUUAUAUAAAAAUAUAAUAAAAAUAGAAUUUAAGUAUAUGAAUAAUAGUUUUAUAGUUUUUUAAUUUUAAAUAGGAAAUUUAAUUAAUUUUUAAUUAAAUUAAUUUUAUUAUACUAAUUUUAAAUUAUUAUGAGUAAUUUUAAUAAUUUAAUUAUUUUAUUAGAUAUAUAUAUAAUUUUUGUUAAUUUUAUUUUAAUAGAUAAAAUAAUUUAAAAUAAUUAAUAUUACUUAUUAUUUAAUAACUUUAUAAUUAAUGUAUUUAAUAAAAUUAUAAUUCAUUUUAAAAUUUAAAUAAAAUUAUAAAUAAUUAAAAAAUUAAGAAUAUGGAGAUAGAAUAAUUAUUAAAUUAUCAAUUCAUCUUUUUUUUAAUUAUCUAUAUAAAAGAAAAUCUUAUCAAUUAAUUAAAUUUGAAUACAUAAAUUAAUAUAAAAAUUAAGAAUUUAGUAUUUUUAAAAUACUUUUUCAUAUUAUUUAAUAUUUACAUGUGCCAUUCUAAUAAUUCUUGUCUUAAUAUUAUUUAAAUUUUUAUGAACCAUAAAUAAUAAAAUUUAUAUUAAUUCAUAAUUAAAAUUACUUUUAUUGUAAUAAUUUUAAAUUAUUAUGGUAAUUUUAACAAUUUCAUUUUUUUAUCUUCGGGUUUUUAAAUAUAAUUUUAUUAAUUUUAUUUUAAUUAUAAUAGUUUGAAUUAAUUAAUAUUAUUUAUUAGAUUUAGGUAGUAAAAUAAUUUUAAAUUAGAAUUAUUAUUAUUAAAAUAAUAUUAACUUUUUAUUUAAUAAUAUAUAAUAAUAUUAAUAAUUGAAUUUAUCUCACAAUCUUUACAUAUUUUAAAAUUUAAGAUUUUUAGAUAAUUUUAUAAUUAAUUUAUUUGAUAAAAUUAUAAUCCAUUUUAAAAUUUAAAUAUAAUUAUGAAUAAUUAAAAAAUCAAGAUUAAUGAACUUAGAUAACUCUUCAAUUAUCAGUUCAUUUUAUAAAAUUGUGAAGAUUUUAUUUUUGAUCCUUAUAAAUUAAUAGAAUUAAAAAUUAUUAUUUUAAGAUUUAUUUUUUAUAUUAUUUACUAUUUAAAUAUAUUAUUCCAAUAUUUCGUAUCUUAAAAUUUAAUAUUGUUAUAAUUAUACAUAUCUCUAAAUUUGAUAUUUUUUAAACUAACUAUAAAAUUUAUUUAAAUAAUAAAAUAUAUCAAUGAAUUUAAUAUUUAAAUAAAAUUAUAAAUAAUUAAAAAGUAUUAUUAUAUUUUUAACAAUAUUAUUCUUUUUUCUCUUCAUAUCAUAGAUUACAAAAUUAUAUUUUAUUUAAGAAUUAUUAAAUUAAAAUUUAAUUUUAAAAAUAUUAUAAAAUUACUUAAUUUAAUAAUAAAGGUUUUUUUUUUGGAUUUUAGUUUUUUGUUUAACACGGAAUUAGGUUACAUAAAUUUAAUAUUUUAUUUUUAAAACUUAUACAAACACACUAAAUAAUUUAAAUAAUAAUAAAAAUUAAAAUAAUUUAACAAUAAUUAAAUUUACUGUUUUAUUGUAAUAAUAUAAAUUUUUUAAUGGAGAUUAAAUUUUUUAAAAAACGUGAAUUUCUUUUUUAUUUUUUAAAUUAAUAAUUUUUCAAAUUAGAAGCAUAAAAUAUUUUUUUUUUGGAAAAGAUCUAAUAAUUUUAGCCAUUUUUUAUAAAUUUUAUUUUAAAUUAUAUAACAAUUUUUUUUAAAAUUAAUUUAAAUAUAAAUAGGACAAGUACUUUAAAUUUAUAUAAAUUUUAAAAUUAUAUAACUAAUUAAAAUUAAAUUAUAAAUAAAAUGUAAUUUAAAUUUAAAUAAAAAUCAAUAUUCAAAUAAAUUAAAAUUUUAAAAUAAUAAAAAAGUUAUAUUAUUUCUUAAGCAAUCAAAACAGAGAUCAAUUAGUAAUUAUUAAAUUUAAAUAAGAAUGAUUUAGAAAUUUUUUUAUUAUUUUUCUCCUCACUUUUAUAUAUAAUAUAGAUUAUUAAUUAAAUAAUAUUAUUAUUAAAAAAUAAUUUUAAAAUAAAAAGAAAUGAAUUAAUUAUAAAAUAAAAUAAAAUACAAUAUAUAUUAUAUAUAAGAAAACUCAGGCUAUUAAAAAAAUUAUUCUAUACUAAUUUUAUUCAACAACUAAUAUAUAAUAUAAUUAAGAAAACUUUUAUAAAUUAUAGUUUUGAUAUUCUCUAAAUUUUAUCAGAGAAUAAGUCCAUUAAUAAUUUUAUCGUGGAAUAUCAUUUCAGAACUUAACUUGUGAAUUGCCAUUUUCAUCCUUUUCCUCGUGUCAUUAAUAACUGUAAUCUUUUAGCAGACUUAUAUAGAGUAAUGAAUAUUUUAUAUUUUUAUUUUAUAGUAAUAUAUUAAAAAUUAAUAUAAAAUUAAAUUAAUUAAUUUUUAAUUUAUUAUUUAUAUAUUAUAAACCAAUUUAUAACAAUAAAAAAUAAUUCAAAGUUACAUAUUUGAUGAUUUAAAUAAUAAAUAUUUUUAUUGAUUUUAUAGCCAUACACGCCUUCUUUCUUUUUAAUAUUGCAAUGAUAUAAACUCUUUUUGUAUUCAUAAUCUUUUCUCAUAUCUCAAAUAAUUCUUGAUAUUGUAACCAUAUAUAACUCUUUCUUCUUAUAGCGAUUCAUAAUUUUUUCGAAUAUCUCGCCACUUUAAAAUAAAUUUAUCAUUAUAAUUCAUCUAAUAUAUACAAAUAACGAUAAAGUUAAUGUAAUUUUAAAAUUGAGUUAUUUUAAUUUAAAUAUAAAAUUAAUAUAAUUUAUAAAUUAUAAAGAUUACAAUUAAUACCAUUUCAAAAAAAAUUACGAAUAAUAAAUGUAUCAUAUUUUAUUAUUAAAUUUUAGUUAAAAAUUAAUUAAAUUAAAAAACGAAAUAAUAGUAAAUUUAUUUUUAAUUUUAAUUGAAUUUAACUUUUUAUUUUAAAUUAUACUUAAAAAAUAUUAAUUUAUUGUUUUAAUAAUUAUCCAAUAUUUUAAUAAUCUUAAUUUUAAAACUAAUCUAAUUGUAUUUUCAUUAAUUUAAGUAUUUCUUUUAAUUUUUUUUAGCAAAUUUCAAAAUUCAUUUACAAAAAUUAAAAUUGAAAGAUUUUGUCAUAAUUUACAAUUACAUUUAAAUAAAAAUUAAUUAUAUUAAAAUAUUAAUAAUAGUAAAACUUUUUUUUUAUUUUUUAAUUAAUCAUAAUAAAAUUAAUUGUCAAAUUUAUCAUAAAAAUUUCCUUUUACGAUUAAUAAUAAAUUCAAAUGAAGAAUAAUAUAUUUAAUUAAAAUUUUUUAAAUAUUAAUAAAUUUAUAUAUCUUAUUAUUUUCUUAACUAAUUUCUAAAAUUAAUUUAACAAAUAAAAAAAAAUCUUCAUUCCAAUAUAUAGUAUAUAUAAACUAUAAAAAUUAAAAGAAUUAGAGAUAUAUAAGUGAAAUCAUUUUUAAAUUAUACUUUUUAUUUUAAUUUUUUUAUUUCAUUAAUAUUUUUAAUAUUCAUUAAUUUAAUUUAAUUUUUUACUUUAAAAACAUACAUUUAUUAUUUUAAUAAUAUUCUUAAUAUUUAUCUUGACCCAAGGAGCUCUCCCAAGUCCAACUGGCUGGAUGGCCCAAUUGGCCAUCAUCAAGAGCUGUAGAAGGCUGAAAAUUGGCUGGUGAACGGGUUGAGUUGCCAAAAUCGAAUGUGGGUUGCCUUAUUCGGAUUGGCUAGUAGGCAUGUGGACGGAUUGGCUGGCAAGAUGGAAGGCCUGCCAGGCGGAACUGAUAGGCGGAAGAAAUUUGCUGGGCAAAAUCAGCUAGCAGUAGCUAGCCUGGCAAUAGGCAGCUCAGAUGCCCCAUAGGCCUACCAAGGAAAGCAAGGAGUUCCGUCGGCCAACCACGAAUGCGCUGGGGAGCCUCGUAGGCCAACCACGAACAAGCUCGAAAAUGCAGUAGGCCUAUCAAGGAGGAGUCGGAUGUCCCGUAAGGAGGAACUUAGAUGUUUGGCGGAAUUGAUUGCUGCAGGAAGGCACAAUCCACGGAGAUGGCUUGGGCAGCAGGAUUGUUGGGCCGUGGAACCUCGGCAAGACAGGCAGACGUCCUCGAUUGACCAACGGGUUUGAUAGCGCUAGACUCCAUGGCCGGCCAGCGAACUUGGCAAGAUUGGAAGCCCACAGGCCUAUGAUCUCGCUGAACGCCCAAAACACGGGGGAAAGGCGCGCAGGCCAUGCCUCAGCACUCCCCAGACCCCUGGUAGGCCAACCAGGAGAAGAUGGGUGAAAAUUAGAGAGUUCUCCGGAAAAUUCUAGAACCAACUGGAUGAGUCUAGGCAACACCCCAAUUCCAAGGCAGAUUGAACAAAUGGCAGUCUCUGAUUGGUCCAAAUAAUUCAAUGGCUAAGAUAUGUACACAGGUUGUUUUAAUAAUUUUUAUUUUAAAAUUAAUUUAGUGGAAUUUCAAGUAAUUUAGAUUUUUUCUUUAGAUUUUCUUAAUAAACUCUAAAAUCAAUUUAAAAUAAUAAAAUUAUAAUCUCAUGUAUAUCUUUAUUUAAAAAAUUUGAUGUUAUUGUAUUUUUAUAUAUCUUUUAAGAUUUCCUUAAUAUUUUUAUAUAUCUUUUAAGAUUUCCUUAACUAACUAAAUUUCAUUUAAAAAAUAUAAAAUUAUCAUUUAUUUUAAAUAAUAAGAUUAUUAACUACUUAAGUAAUUAAAUUAAAUAAUUUCUAAAUAACUUAAAAGUUAAAAACAUUAUAAAAAAUCUCAUUAUUUCCAAAUUUUCACUUUUAUAAAUUGAAAAUCAGAAAAGAAAAAUCUCAUUAUCUUCCAAUUAUACUGUUGGAUUAGUAAAUUCUUUUGAAAAUUAAUUAAUUUUAUUUUUUAAUGCAUAAAAAAAUUACUAUAAAAAAAUGUAAUAUUUAAUUUGAAACUAAUAAAAUAAAAAACCAAAGUAUAUUUAUAAGAUAGAGAGUAAUUUUUUUAUAUUUUUAAACAAAAAGAAAAUUCGAAUUUUGAAUUCAAUUUGUUAUAGUAUUAAGCAUAAUCUCAAAUACUGGAAUUUGAAGUAAUCUCGAAGUCCUAUUGAUUGGCAUUCAUCGGCAAACUUCAACUAUGUUUUAAGUUUAAAUACUUAAACCCUCUUCUCAUAUUCUUUGCUUAACCUAAGCAUCGACAAUCUCCAUUGGUGCCUUUCAGUUUAAAGGUUUCGGCUGGAUUUCCAAUUUUCUGGGAUUUACUAGCCAUGGACAAUCCAUUGGAAUAUUACGGUGAUGAUUCAAGUGAUCCUGAUGAAAAUGUGAAUUCUGAUUACGAAUAUGAUGAUGAUGCAAUUCUCUUGGCUGAGAAAGACGAUGAUUCCAACAAGGAUUUCAAGCCACAAAACUGUAGGGUCCUGAAGCUAGAAGAUGUUCGCCAACGCAUGGAGGAAGAUAUCGCUAACGUUUCCAGCGUCCUUUCUAUAUCAAAAGCUGAGGCAAGUAUAUUACUUCGCUACUUUCAUUGGUCUGUCAGCAAAGUUAAUGAUGUUUGGUUUGUUGAUGAGUCUGAAAUCCGUAAAAAACUUGGCUUGUUCGGGAAACCAGAAGUGGUUCAUCAUGAUGAUAGUGUAAUUAUAAUAUGUGGGAUCUGUUUUGAAUACUUUUCAUAUGAUGGGUUAUGUUCAGCUGCAUGUGGUCACCUUUAUUGUAAAGAAUGCUGGGCUAGUUACAUUACUACAUCGAUCAAUAAUGAUAACCUUAGGUGUUUGUCUCUAAGGUGUCCUGAACCGUCGUGUAAGGCGGUGGUGGAUCAGGACAUGGUUGACUCAUUAGUGUCGGAGGAAGACAGGAAGAAGUAUUCUGAGUUCAUGGUUAAGUCUUGCGUUGAAGAGAGCAGGAAUACAAAAUGGUGCCCUGGCCCAGGAUGUGAGUAUGUGAUUGAGUUCAUCGCUGGGGAAGGAAGCUUUGAUGUGACUUGCAUUUGUUUGGCGAGCUUUUGCUGGAACUGCGGCGAGGAAGGUCACCGUCCCUUAGAUUGCGAGACUGUUAAGCUUUGGCUUUCAAAGAACAUGUCGGAAUCUGAGAAUGUCAAUUACAUAUUAUCUUAUUGCAAGCCUUGUCCGAACUGUAAGAGACCCAUAGAAAAAAACCAGGGGUGUUCAAACAUGACGUGCAGGAUCUGUGGUCACAAUUUUUGCUGGACGUGCCUUUGUCCAAAUGGCUAUCAUCUUGCUUGUAACAUAUACAAAGCUUCGGAUACAGAAGCCUCGAGAAAAAUGAUGGGACAGAAAACUAUGCAGAAAUAUAUGCAUUAUUUUGAACGUUGGGAUGCUAAUAAAAGAUCCAAAGCAAAGGCUAUUGCAGGUUUCGGAAAUAUGAAGAAUGAGCAAUUCAAGCGGCUGAGUAAGAAACUGAAGAUUUCAGACGCAGAUUUCGAUUUUUUAUCUAAAGCCUGGCUGCAGAUAAUUGAAUGUAGAGGAAUUCUGGGGUGGAGUUUUGUGUAUGGAUACAAUUUGCCUGACAAUGAGCCUGCAAAGAAGCAGUUUUUUGGCUACUUGCAAGGGGAAGCAGAAUCUACACUGGAGAAGCUUCAUCACUGUGUGGAAAUUGAGAUACUGUCGUUUCUCAAUGUUAAUAAUCCAUUAGAGAAUUUCGAUGAUUACAGAAAUAAGUUAAUUAAACUGACUUUUGUGACAGGAAAUUACUUUGAGAAGCUGGUUAAAGCAUUAGAAAAUGAUCUACCUGGAGUCCAUGAGUCUAGCAGCGGCGGCAGCAGCAGCAGCAGCAGCUCUAAGUAUCAAUCAGAAGAUGAAUAUUGGAUUUGUGCUAGAUGUUCCCAUGCCAAUCCCUACUCUGUCAACAAAUGCAAAGGGUGUCCGGCUGAUGCUAAUCUUGCAAGGAUUAAUUUGGACUAUUUUCUUUUUAUGGUAAACAACAGAACAGAUUAUCAUUUUUAUCCACGUUAGCAACAGUUCUUUUUUACUGCUUUAUUUAUUUACUUGCUAGAUAACCAGGACUGAACCUCGCUGGUGCAUGGCUUUUUGUGUUUCUCAGUUUAAUAUUUUCUAUUCAGGGUUUAUUUAUUUAUUUAUUUACAUUGUUCCAUGAGUUCAAAUUAUCUCAAGAACAGAUGCAUGUGAUUCAUAUCAAGAAGGAAAUAUAUAUAUAUAGAUAUAUAUAUAUAUAUUAUGUUUCUUUGUUGCUGAAGUGAAACUUGCACAAAUAAAAACUGCAAAAUCCUUACAGGCUUAAAGCCCUGAAGAAUUCCUCUACCUAAACCUUCAUAUCAGGAAACCUAAGCUGAUGUUUAUGUGGCAACUUCUUCUCAUACAGAUUUUUUUUUUAUUUGUAUUGUGUAAGUAGUAUUCAGUAGAAUAUACAAAAGAAUGUAAUGACUAACAAAAAGAAUAAGGUAUGGUUCCUUCUUGGCCGUCAUUUGUGCCAAAUAUAUGUGUUAUUUCUCGGCUACCUGCUGUCUUCUUCGGCAACAACACCAUCGGAAAGUUUUGAGAGAAUGAAUAUACAAGCUGAGGAAACCAGCACAGCUCCAGCAAAACAAGCAAGAUCCAAACUGGUGACCAUAGGUAUUUUCUUGAAUUUUUCCAACAAUCCCACUUGAAGUAUCAUCAUGACUGCAUGCCCAAUUCUGGACUUGGCUUGGGCAACCGUCUCCAUUUGCACCCAUGUUGGAAGAGACUGAAACAGACACAAUAAUCAUCAGAAACCUUAGUAUCUAUACAACGUCAGGGAAAACAAAAGGAAAACAGGAUCAUGUCAUGUGUGCAAAUUUGAAAGAAAGGCUCACCUUCAAAUGGUAGAGGCCAAAAAGAUUUGAUCCUGGGAGCAGUUGCCCAUUUUCUUUCAAAUUCUUUGGUUCCACAAAGAUUACAUAUAACCCCACUCCAAACAUAAACAUGGCUGUUCCUACCAAGAACAUGUCUGCAUAACAGAAGGAACACAACUGUUCAGUAAACUGAAUUAGAAUCCCUUUGUUGUUACGCUUCAUUUUGCAAAUGAAAAUUUUUUAAAUUCUUUCGUUCCAAUCAAAGAGAAUGAUUAUAAAAGAAAUCAAUUGAAUUAAAUUCUUGCAGAAUUCUUAAUACUAAACAGAGAAUUAGAAGAAAACGCUGAAGCAUACAAGGCAGAUGUAUAUACCAAUGGCUUCUAUAAGUAGCUGCACGAUUUGUCCUCCCUCUGAACUGUGAGAUAACAUGCUAAAAUAGUUGAAGUAUGCCUCUAGAAUGAGAAAGCAACCCUGCAAAAUUUGAUGUUAAAUAUGUAUCUGUCAGUGUCCAACACAAGGCAGAGUUUCAAGAAAACAAAAUUAAUUUUUUUAAAAAAUACAAGCUUCUCUCUGUUUUUUUUUUUGUUUUUUUUCCAGUCUGUUUUUUUAAAAUAAUUAAUGAUAAAAAUAAUAGAUUACCUCCACAAAACACAAUACUGAACUAAGCAAUGCUCCUGCUGUGGCAAAUAAAGUAAAGAACCGACAAUCAAUUAUGGCCUGCACAAGGAAAAUUAUAUGAUAAUUAAUUAGAAAUCCACAUUGACUAUAAAGAUUUUUAAUAAAUAAAUAAAUAAAAAUAGCUAAAAAUUACAACACUAGACUAAAAAUUGCAGUUCCAGGAAUCUGAAUUUCAUUUCCAGUAGAGCUCUUUGGAUUUGAUUUCCACGGGGAUAUAAUAAUGAAUAAUAAACAAUCACAAUGAAAAAGAACGAACCUUUUCAAUGAGCGACUGGACCUGUAUUUUCCACGGCUUACGUUUAACAGCAGGCCUCAAAACCUUAAACAAAGCAUUACCAACAGUUGCAACCAAAGAAGCCAAAUCUAAUAUUCCCUCAUCAGCCCGUGAGUCUGUAGUGAUACAGCUCUCGCUAAUAGCAACGGAUGCUUUCACAACCGCCGCCGUUGAUUUCCUUUUAUCACCAUCACUUGAAACCAUCUUCUGAUCUCCACCCAACCCAGCAGCAGUAUUCUUAGCGAUGCAUUUCAACGAGGCAGAAGAUGAAGAAGUUGAACCAGGAGGAUGAACAUGAGGAAGAGGCCUAGACGAACGCAGGAGUCUUGUGGUCGCCAUUACUUUUAGUUUUCUUGAUUUUCGGCAGUUGGCCUGUGGAGGUUUUGGGAGUCGAAGUUCUAUGCUUUUGAAGUUUUAGCCAGUUGUUGCGUGGCCUAUAGUGCUUCUUAUAGUGACAGUGAGAAGGAGAGAAGAUUCGAAGCAUAUUAGCCGGAGGGAGUUUUGAGUUUUCCGCGAGAGUUUGGUGUUUGAAAUUUUGACCUUACGUGAUGAUUUUCCAGUUUCCACCAACGUGUGGGGCCAUAAGAGUUGUAAGCCUACCACGUGGCAAAUGGGUAUCUUUUGGAGGACUUUUACUGGGAGUUUUUCUAUCGUCGGCUUGGAAGACUGUUUUGUUGGGUUCCGUUGUUCGGCAGGUGGGUGGAAGAAGGAAGAUUCUCGUCGUGAUUCACAAGUUGGUUCUUCUUCCAGGCCUCGCCGCCUCCGCAAGCAACGGCUAUUAUGGAACUUGGUACAAUUCCUUAUUCCCAUUGGGAAUGGUUUUGGCUUUGGACUUGCCCGCAAUACACUCAUGUGAUUAAUUUACGACCCAAACUUAAAUUUACGGUCCCAAAACAUGCACGCGGUGAUCCAGCUAGCAGCUAAGGUUGACAUAAAAGGACACCAUCAUUGUCUCUGUGAUCAAAUUUAGUUUCUAUUCAUGUUAAUACUACUUUUUUUUCCAUAACUUUUAUUUAUAUUUUUAUUCUUUAUCAUUUUAAAAUUAUUAUAAUUUUUAUUUAUUUAAUUUUUUCAUACAUAUUAAAAAUUUAAUUUUUUAUUUUUUAAUUAUAUUUAUUUUAAAAAUAUUAAAUUUAUAUUAAAUACUAAAAAAUAUUUUGAAAACUUUUUUAAAAAUAAAAUAAUUAAAAUUAUAAUAGUAAAUUUAUAUAUUAUUAUAAUAUAAAAUAAUUAAAUAAUAAUUUUAGAAUAACUAAAAAAGAUAAAUAAAAAUUAAAAAACAGAAAAUAUAUAUAAAUUAAUUAUUAUAACAGUAUUUUAUUUUAUUUUAUUUUUAAAAUAAUAUCUUAUUAAUUAUUUUUUAAAUGAGUAUUAAAAUAUUUUUUUAAUAUUUUUAAAGUGAAUGUAAUUAGAAAAUUAAUAAAAAAAAUAUUUUUCUAUUAUAUUGAUGCAGUUGUUUUAAUAAAAUUGAUUGGAUUUGAUUUUCUUUUAAUUUAAUAAUUUGAUGUUUAAUUUUUCAAUGAAGCAAUAAACUACAUGUAAAAUGCAAGCAUUCAGUAACAAGUCCCUCCAAAGUUUUUUUAUACCAAAAAAUAGGGAAAGGAUAUUCCUUUUAGAUACAUUUUUUAAAAAAUUAAUUAGUGGUUUUUUAUGAUUUGACCAUAGGAAUUUUUGUUUCAAUGAAAUUGUAAUUUUUUUUAAAAAUAAAUUUUAUAUAAACUUCUUAAAAUAUUAUGCUAGUUUUAAUUCAUAAAUUGAAAAGUUAAAAAUUCUUUUUAUUUAAAUUAAUUUGCAAACAUCCCAAAAAAUUUUCUCUCUUAAACAAUAAUAAAUUAUGAAAAUUUAAAAAUACUAAACAACCUUACUUCAAAAUGACAAACCGAGUGCAAGAUGCGACAAUGGACACACGGUCGUGGGAUAAAGCAAAGCAAAACAAAUCAAUAGCCAGAUCGAGGGUCCAAAGCUUAGCUGGGGUCCCCUUCUCUCCUGCUUCUCAUUUAUCACGUGGGUUUGAUCGUUGGAUUUAGGCCUUAUUUGUUCAAAUCUUUUAAUUUUUAAAAAAUUACUAUUAAAAAAAUAAGAUAAAUAAGUUACUUUCUUUUUAUUCAAAAAAAUAAUUUUUUUUAAUUUUUAAAAAUUUUAAAAAUAAAAAAUAAUCAAACAAAAAAUAUAUUAAUUUAUUGAAAAUUUGAAAUUUCUUGAUAAACUUAAUCCCAACUAAACAAGAUUUUAUAAUAAGAAUUCAUCAUCUAUUAUAUGUACGAUGGAUUAGAUUGAAUGGAAUUGGGAGAAAGAAACAAAAAAGAAAGAAAUAUACAGAACUAAACUUGCGUUUUGUUGGUAAAAAGAAAAAAUAUAUAAAUUAUAUAUUUUUUAACAAUUAAAAUGCUCAAAAGAAUUAAUAAAAAAGUAAAUUAUUUUCAAAGAUUCUAUUCACCACUAUGUAAUAUCCUAUAUUUUUUAAAUCAUAACUAAAAGAAUAAAUUAUUUUAUUGGUUUUUUAUGAACAAUAUUUUUAAAUACAAAGAAAAAAUAAUAUAGAGAAAAUAACUCGAAAUACAAGCUUGAAAAAAUUAUAUGCAGUGUGAAUAAGUAAAAAAGGAUAGAAGACUCGGGAAAUUUUAUACAAUAAACUUGGAGUGCUGGUGAUAUGGUAAAGUUGCUACUUCCCAAUAUUAAUUUAAAUUAAAACAUGUCAAAAAGUGUAAGCGGUCCCUAAUUGUUCUUUUUUAAAUUAAUUCAUUCAACACAUUUAAUAAUAAUUAAAUAAUAAAAAAAUCCUUACAGCAUAAAUAAAAUAAGCUGAAGUGAAAUAUUUAUAUCUUAUUCAAAGAGAAAAUAUUUUUUCUGAGUUUUGAAUUUUUAUUUAGGACGAAUUUUCAUUUUCUACUAUAGAGAUUGGCUUUUCUUACCCCUUAUCGUAGGGGAAGCGGUUGCUUCUCCUACUCAAUGUUAGAUACUCUAUCCACCAUUGAGAGAUUUGACUUUCUUUUAUGGUUGUAUAUUACAGGAUUGAAGUAUGACAUUUGGAUAGGUGAUAUGAAUUAUUCUUCUAACAUUUCAUGUGAUUUGACUUUCUUUUGUGGUUGUAUAUUACAGGAUUGAAAUAUGACAUCUGAAUAAAUAAUAUGAAUCAUUUUCCUUAGCUUCUGAUGUUUAAUGGUGAAAUCAUUUCCGAAAUGCUCACGAUAACUAUUUUUGGGUUGAUCCGGUCUCUCACGAGCUCUAUCUCGCCAUUACAUGCAAGUUUAUCGUUUUGAUCUCUCAAUGAUCUCUCUUGCCUCUUACAAAACUAUAGAUCCUUAAGCUUAACUAGUCCUUAAAUUCUUGGAGGAUAGCCUCUCCUUCUCAACUCUUUUAGAGUUUUUACAAAUAGCAAAAGUCCUUCCGUUUUUCAUAUAUUGCUUUUUUUUUAAAAAAAUCUCGCCUUACUUGAUUCAAUUUUUGCAUAGGAAAAAAAAAAAAGUCUCAGCUUACUUGAUUGUUUUUUGCAUAUGAAAAAAAAAGUUUUGCCUUGAUUGUUUUUAGCAUAUGAAAAAAAAAAAGUCUCGGCUUACAUGAUUGUUUUUUGCAUAUGAAAAUCUCCACCGGUGGUGCUCCAUGUUGAAUCUUACUUGAUUGUGCUCCAUGUUGUUUCUUACUUGAUUGUUUUUGGCAUAUGAAAAUUUCCACCGGCAGUGCUCCAUGUUGUUCCUCCUUCAUAAGUCAGUUCCUCUCCUUGUUUCAGGUUUGACUUGGUUGAAUAGGGUUUUAUUGGGCUUUGGCUCAUUUAGUUAAGAUUGAAUUGGUUGAAGAGUUUACUUUCUUUAAGGUUUUUUUUAGCUGUUUUUGGACUUUAAAUAUUGAGCCAAGCCUUCUAUAUUUCAUUUUUUACUUUGGGCCAUCUCUUGAAGGUCUGUGGACUUUAUUGCAUCUCUUUUUACUUCAAUCAAAUUUAUCUUUGACAAAAAAAAGAAUAUAACAUAGAUGAUUUGAUAUAAGUACUGAAUAUUUUUCUAAAAUCAAAAUGUUCUAUUUUUCCUUAUUACAAUUUAAGGGUAAAAUUAAUGAAAAGAUUUUGAAUUUCAAAACAAUUAAAAUUGAAAAACUAAAAUAGCUGAAUUUUCCUAUCCGAGAGACCAAUUCAUAAUUAGUCACAAAGUAAUGACCAAAUGGCAAAUUCCCUAAUUAAUUUCUCUUCUCUGCCUCCACUAACGUCAAGGUCAAAUUCAACCAUUAAAAGAGUUGAUCACUCAAUCACACAAAUAAAAACUAUUUACAAAGCGAUGACAUGAACACCAAGAUUAAAAAGAAACUCAAAAUCAGAGAAUAAAUGAAUAAGACAAAUGGAAUUGCAUUAGGAGAUGAAGUAGAAACAUUUCCCAUUGUUUUUGGCCAGAAUCAAAUUUCCAAAGAGAGAGAAAAAAAAAAUCAACCCAUUAGAUAUUGAAUAUGAAUGCUACUUAAACUUGAUAUUAAACAGAUGCAUGCCAUUUAUCACUUGCCUAAUUUUUCAGGAUACUCCCAGAAUUUCCACAUUCUCAAAUCACUUGAAUCAUCAGAAUUCCAACUAAUAUUUGGCAAAAAUAAGAAAUACAUAGGAGAAGCUUUGAAGUGACAACAUUCUCAAAUCACUGAGAUGUUCUUUGCACAUAGGAAACCUACGCUUGUUGGGAUUGUCAUUUUUGAAGGUCAGAACAAUAAAAGAAAUAUAGAGGCUAAAACUCUUGCUACACAUUGGAAUAAAAGAAAAAAUAAUAACAUCAAAAUCUCAACGAUACAUAAUGAUGAAUCCUACAUCGGUUGUGGAAAGGGGUAAUGUGCCCCUUAUAUGGACUAUAGACACUCCUCCCUCUUGAGCUACCUUUUGGGGUGAGUUAGGCCUGACCCAAAUUUAACAUGGUAUCAAAGCCUCCCCAUCCGAUGCUAGACACCCCAUAAAUGUGUCACGCUCCCACAUCGGUUGUGGAAAGGGUAAUAUGCCCCUUAUAUGGGCUAUAGACACUCCUCCCUCUUGAGCUAACUUUUAGGGUGAACUUUUAGGGUGAUAUAGGCUUGGCCCAAAUUUAACAUGAUAUCAGAGCCUUCCCAUCCGAUGUUGGGCGCCCUAUAAAUGUGCCACGCACCAGUAAAAAUUCUAAGCGUGAGGGGUGUGUUGAUUCCUACAUCGGUUCUGGAAAGGGGUAAUGUGCCCCUUAUAUGGACUACAGGCACUCCUCCUCUUGAGCUAGCUUUUGGGGUGAGUUAGGCCUGGUCCAAAUUUAACACAAAAUAAAGAGCAAAAGCAACACUAGCAAGAAGGAUAAUCAACACAUAUCAGAAGAAAAAUCAAGCAUGAAUCACUAUCAAGUCCAUGUAUUUUAUCAAAAUUAACUAUUUAGUCCUUUUUAAAGAAGGAAAACGAAAACUCAAUUAAAAAGUACAAGUAUUUUGUUUCAACCUUUCUUUUGCCAAAAAAUUGUUAAUCAACUUAUUUUUAGUUAAAUAUUCAAGAUUUUAAUUAUCAAUAUUAUUUAGUUUCUGUAAUUUUACAACUAAGAAGUUAAGUUUGGGGAGACAAAAAAGGAAAAAAAAAAAGACUUUAUGCUAACUCACCCAUUAAUCAAACACUUGCUCAUCUUCAUAAAAAGAGAAUGUGUAGCUGUAGAAGAAGCUUCCUCAUGAAUUUUUAGGCUUUCAAAAUUACAAUCUAACAAGAAAAUUUUCAUGCCUCCUAUUGUGGAUGAGAUGGGUUUGUAGAAUAUCUAAUUUAAUUGAGAAUUAAAGUAGAAGUUUCAAAUUGAUGGUAAUCAUGCAUUCUUCCAUGGAGUGAGAAAGAAAUAGAGGGGGUGAGAGAACAUUCAAUGGGUGUAACAAUAAUGGCCUAUUGCUACGCAGAUUUUCAAAAAAAUUUUGCUGAACUCAUGAAAUGAAAAAAAUAUUUAAAGUGAUGAGUAUAAAUAAGAUAAUCAAAUAUAAGUAUUAAUACAUCAAAUAAGGACAUUCAAUCCAUCAUACAUCUUUAAUAAUAAUUAAUUUAUAGUUAAAAUAAAAAUUUAAAUAAUAUAAAUAUGAAUGAAUAAUUCUUCAUACUCUAAAUUUAAUAAAAAAAAACUUGGCAUUUAACAAAAAGAACUUCACAUUCAACAUUAUUUUUAUUUAUAGAUAGAUAAUUAAUUUUUUAUAAAAAUUUAAGAAAAAGUGAGAUAUAACAAUAUAAAACUUCACAAUCUAAUAAAAAGAAUAUGAGUUAUUUCCCAUAUAGCUUUAAAAAAUAAAUAAAUAAAAAACCAACCAUUAUCAUUAUUUAAUAAUAAAUAACAACCAUUACCAUUUUAUUAAUAGUAAAUAACAUCCAUUACCAUUAUAUUAAUGGCCGUAACAAAAGUUGUAUAAUACAUAUAAAAUUAAGAAUUUAAAUUUAAAAAAAUUACUACUUAACCACAGUGGUAUGGAAAAAUUAAUUAGUUCAUCCCUCAAUUUUGAAGAAAUGCAUUAAAACAUCUCUAACGCUUUAAAAAGUCUACUAGUUAGUUUUUUCGUCAAUUUUAAUUAUUAAAUAUUAAAAAAAAGUCUAAAAUAUCCUUAAAGAGAGUAAUUAGUAAACUUUUUAAAAAUUUGAAAGACUAACUAAUAAAUUUUUCAAAAUCAUAGAUACUAAAUAGUAAAAUAUUUUAUAACAAAAUUAACGAAUUGACUGAGUAAUAAAUUUUUUGCUUUUUAAAAUGUUAGGAUAUUUUAAUAUAUUUUUCAAAAUCAAAUGACUAACUAUUAAAUUUUUCCAAAUAGUAAGUUUUUCUUGAAUUAAUCAUGAGAAAAACAUAAGGGUGCAAUUGAAUUAGGAAUGUCAAAGAUAGAUAACUCAUGAAAGUCACCAUUUCCAAACCAUCCAAAUAGAAUUUGAUGUGAUCAAGCACCGAAAAUAUUCGACCCAUUAUCACUUCUAUAUUAAACUUCGGGUUCCAAGUUCAGGAGUCAAAUUAUGUUUUUUGCUGAUAGUAUUCUAUAUCUAUAGGCCUAACUCCAAACCAUAUAAAUUAGUCAGGCAAAUGCAUGAUGAAAACUUAUUAACACGUAGAUUAGGCAAAAGAAUUGAGCUGUCCCAACUUUUCAUAUGAAAGACAGUGGAAGAAGGUUAAGAAGGGAGGAAUUGCAGUAGAAGAUGAAUUAGAAACAUUUCCAUUGAUGUAGCCAAAACCAAAUUAAGAAGCAAUCCAUUCAAGAGAUGCUGAAUUUGAAUGCUACUUAAAACUCGAUACCAAACAGAUGCAAGCCAUUUAUCACUUGCCUAAUUCUUCAGCACACUACCCAGAAUUUUUUCUCAAAUCACUUGAAUCAAUAGAAAAUUUUCCAACUAAUUGGUUCCACCUCCACUCUCCUGGUACUGAAACAUUAUAAUGUAGCAAAAUGAAAACACACAGAAGAAGCUUUGAAGUAACAGACAACAAGAAGCAUUAAUUCACUAAUUGGAGACCUAUUUGUUAUGGAUCCACCAUUAAAAAAAGAAAAUAAAAGAAAAAAAGUUUUUUUUAUCAGUUCUUUUCCUUUGUCUAUAAACAAAUUCUAAUAGAAAACAUAGAAAUGCGGCUCAAAAGUGCUUGAAACCUUAUCAUGGGCAAAAUGCCUCAGGAAAUAAAAGGUCUUAUUCAUCAUCAUCGCCGCAUUCUUUUCCCUCAAAUCACAAUCAUCAUCUUCGUCAACAGUUAGCAUCAAACAAACAUUCCAAAAAUCUAAAUCUGAGCUUGAGCUUACCUGAAAACAACAGCCUGAAUCUGAACUAUCAGCCACAAAUAGAAGAACCUCUUUCGGGAAGAAGCAGCUUUUACGUCCUCAUCGUCAUCUUCUCACCUUUUAUAGUGCACUAAGCGAAAGUACGAAAUUAUCCUGAGCUUUUCAUUUUAUGUCUCGCCUAUCCCUAGAAGUGAAACUCUUCCUUAUUGCAUCUGGACUAGGGAUGGCAACGGAUCGGAUAUUUUCUGAUAUUCGAUCCGACCGAAUUCUAAUAGAACGAAUUUGGAUAGUUAUAAUCGGGUUUGGAAUGGAUUCGAGUUUUAAAAAUAAUACCCGUUGCAGGUUUGGAUCGGAUUCGGAUUUUAUGUAUAGGUAUCCACUAUCUGAAUCUGUUUAUAUAAAUAAUUAAUUUAAUAUAAAAAAUAUAUUUUAUAAUAAUAUUUAUAAAUUUUUUUUAUAUAUUUAUAUUUAAAAUUUUAAAUUUAAAUAUUCUUUAGAAAUAUUAAAUUUUUUAAAUAAAAAUUAUUAAUGAAAAAUAUUUUUUAUAUAAAUUAUUAAUUAAAAUAUAUAAAAUUAAACGAAUUCAAAUUUUAUUCAGAUAAUAAUAAUUAGAUUUAGAACAGAUUCCAUAAUUUAAAUUAAUUUUUAAUUGAAUUUGAAACGGAUUCAAAUAUUACUAGUAUAAAUUAAAUUCGGAUUGGGAUAGUUUAAUUUUCGUAUUUUACCCUGCCAGUUUACAUCCCUAAUCAGGGCGGUGCGGUCGCGUAUAAGUACUUCCGUGGUGGGCCCUUUUUGCCUUCAACGGUCUUCUCUUGCUCAACUAGAAUCGGACGCUCAUUUUAGUCCUUGGUUUCUCCGGUGGGCGCUGGCCUCAUAAGCUGCCAGAUGAGAGAUACCAUAAAAUCAGAAUCUAUUUGAACGCACUCCAAAAUCGUAUUUGGGAACUGGGCUUGUGUGAUUGAUGGGUUUCUCAUCCAAUUUGCAGGGGUGAGUUAUGAUUUUUGUAGCAGCGACUUCAAGUUUUAGCUACAUUCCACCAUGGCCAAAAAACGGUCGCCGUCCUCAUUCGCGCGAGUUCGUCACAUUAAACAGAGUUUCAAAUCAGAGAGAAUCUGGCUUUUUGUCAAUAACUCAAGAUGAUAGGAGAACGUAAGUUGCUCUUUCUCUGUCACGCAUUUUGACAAACACUACUCCUGCGUUCUAAAUUUCACACGCUAAGCUUGGGGCUUUGCAGGUGCGAGCUUUUUAAUUUGUCCAAGAGGCUAGUGCCAUAUGAUGAUGCAUGGAAUUGGCAAAAGGACAUUGUUAGAGAGAAAAGGACAUUUAUCGAAAGGAAGGAAGAGUCCCCAGAUACGCUAAUCGUUCUACAGCAUCAUCCUGUGUAUACAUUGGGUACGGGCAGCUCUGUAGGAUACCUGAAUUUUGAUGUAGAAGAUGCUCCUUAUGAGGUUUAUCGAACUGAACGAGGCGGAGAAGUCACCUAUCAUGGGCCUGGCCAGGUAUACUCUUCUUCAUUGCUAAGCACUCAUUUUUUCUAUGUCAUCUUUUCAAAUUCUCAAAAUCAAUGGACUAAAGAGAAAUCUUUAUCUUUAUGAUACAAGGGCCUAACUAAGGAUGAAUUUGUAUUACACUGUAGCUAAUUAUGUACCCAAUUAUCAAUCUUCGAAAUCACAAGAUGGAUCUUCAUUGGUACCUCAGGGCACUUGAGGAAGUGGCCAUUCGUGUUCUUUCCUCAACCUUCUCUAUUGAAGCAUCACGCGUUGAUGGUUUAACUGGAGUUUGGGUUGGUAAGUUCCAUGCCCUCCAUUUGUGAUUCUCUUGGAUGAAAGUUCAUCCCUUGCUAUGGCAACUCAUACUCAUGAACUUUAACACUCUUUUUAGGAAGAAGUAAAGUAAGAUUUUUUAUGGUUUUUAGACCAUGAUAAGUUUUUUGGAAAAUUUUUUUAAGGUAUUUGAAAGUUUUAAAGAGAAGACCUUCUAAAUCCACUGAUUUAAUGAGUUGGCUGUGGAAUUUUUUGGAAAAACCUCCAAGAACCUUACUUCAAACGGCUUCAAGUUUUCGCAAACAUAAACCUUAAAAAACCUCUCAUUACUUUAAAAAAAUCUCCUCCCAGAUGAAGGAUAAAUGAUCUUUAUAUGAUAGUAUAUGUUGAUGACUGGUUUUACACUAUAUGUGUCGAAAUUGACCUAAUUGGAUUGUGUUUAGUGUUUGAAGAGAGUGGAAUAUGUAAAUGUCACUUCUUGAUCCUUGUGUCGAAAACUCUCCUUCAGGGGAUCAGAAACUGGCUGCAAUUGGGAUAAAAGUUUCUCAAUGGAUAACUUAUCAUGGUUUGGCACUCAAUGUCACCACAGAUUUGAAACCUUUUGAUUGGAUAGUCCCAUGUGGGAUUAGGAACAGAAAGGUUGGAAGCAUUAAGGGAUUACUAGAGGAGGUCAGGCUGUGUAAUGGAAGUGUUGAUGGAGAUGUGCAUCAUUUUGAUGAUUCCCAGCUGAUUGAUAUUACUUCCAAAUCCUUGAUCAGAGAAUUUUCUGAAGUUUUCCAGCUUAAGAUUGUCAUGAAACAAUACCCAAUUUGAGGAUUUUGGAGAAGAACCAUAAAAGGCUUACUGGUGGAAGAUUGUGUAACUGGGUUCUUGUCUGAAACAUUUGUGGUUAAGAUCUUCAUAAUCCAAGGAGUCAUUCUGCUAACAGUGGCAGAAUCUUCAUAACUUUGCAUUUUAAUGUAGUCACACUGUAGUUUUGUUUUCAUUACAAUGUACCUUAUUCUGAAAUCAAAAUUCAAGAAUUGCUUAGCUCUGUUGAAAACUCAAGAUGUUUCCUACUGUUUUUGGAAUUCAAUCUAAGCAAGUUCAACAAAACUAGCCUUGAUGUGAUCUUGUUCUUUAAUUCACCUGAUAGCCAGAUUCUGACCUUUUUGACCUAAAUUGCAGAUAAGUAUCCUUGCAGGUAGGGAUGUCAGUCGGGCGGGUUUUUGCGGGUACCCGAUCCGUCCAAACCCUAUUAGGACNNNNNNNNNNNNNNNNNNNNNNNNNNNNNNNNNNNNNNNNNNNNNNNNNNNNNNNNNNNNNNNNNNNNNNNNNNNNNNNNNNNNNNNNNNNNNNNNNNNNNNNNNNNNNNNNNNNNNNNNNNNNNNNNNNNNNNNNNNNNNNNNNNNNNNNNNNNNNNNNNNNNNNNNNNNNNNNNNNNNNNNNNNNNNNNNNNNNNNNNNNNNNNNNNNNNNNNNNNNNNNNNNNNNNNNNNNNNNNNNNNNNNNNNNNNGAUUAUAAAUCAUUAUUUGCUGGGUUGCUGAGUUGCUGGUUCUUGUUAUUGAACACACUGUUGGGUUUGCUGGGUUGUGCAACUGUUAGGUGUAGUUUAUUUGACAGUUUUUCUCAUCGAAUUGAAUUAAAAAAAUCGGGUUCGGGUAUUGUGCGGGUAUUGCUAAACGGGUUCGGGACGGGUUCGGAUAGUAAAAAUAAAAUAUUAAACGGAUUUGGGACGGGUUCGGAUUUUGUAAAUAUAAUCGGGUUCGGAUUUGGGUACCCUGAAUUUCGCGGGUACCCUACCCGUUGCCAUCCCUACUUGCAGGCCUGUAAUGAGACCCCAUUUCUUUGGGCUAAAUUGCAGAUAUGGCCUCUGAAUUUGAUCAGUUACAGCCAACAUAAAGCAUCACAUGAUGCCACAGUUUGCGGAUAAUAACUAGCGCAAAUAUGUUAUGGAAUUCUUGGUGCCAAUUUGCUACAGACAUACACAGUCCUAUUGAUAUGAAAGAAAUACAAGACAGCAAUGACAAAACCCUUUUUCCCCUUGAGGUAUAAAUAGUAUCUUUAACCCCAUUUUGAAAAGGAUACUAGCUUGGUUUACACUCAAGCCAUUAUUGCACAUCAUAUGCCAAUUAUAAGUUUAUUUGUAAUUUAUAAAUGCAUUAUUCUAUAAGGUGGACCUGGUCUUUUUUUUUUUUUUUUUCAUGACAAACAUUUCUAAAACUCUUAACUCAUGUGAGAAAUUAUAUUUUCUAUAUGAUAUACUAUUUUUAAAGUAAUAUUACACAUUUGCAUAUAAUAUUCAUGGCUUUUAAAUAUAAAAUUAGUAUUUCCUUCAUUUCAGAGAGAUGGACUUAUAGUUAUUUUAUGAAAAAGAAAUGUAGUUAAUAUAGUUAAAAUAGAAGGUUUAUUUUGUCUUUUCUCCUAUGCCCUUCCCUUAUAAAUUUUUAUUAUUAAAUUAUUUUUAAAAUUAAUAAAUUGUGUCUUUAUAUUUAGGCUUCGUUUGGUUGGGGCUAACUUAGAAAGGAAAAUUCAACUUUCCAUAAAGUAUAAAAUGUUUGACUUAUUUGAUUUUCAUGAUUCUAUAACUUCUUGGGAAGUUGGUGUGUGUUACUUUCCAGGAAAGUAAAUUCCCCCAAGUAAUUUCAAGUUCCUUUCUUUACUUUUUAUUUUACUUUUAUUUUUUUUAUAAUUAAGUGUUUAGGUGAAAGUUUAUAAAAAAAAUUGAAGAUUAUGUUUGUUGAUAGAUAAUGAUAGUGUAAAAAAUUUCAUAAUACAAUUUUGUUUAUAUUAUAUAUACAUUCAAAUAAAGAAAUAAAUUAUUUAAAUUAAAAAUAAAUAUUUUUUUAUAUUUUAUGAUAAUUUUUAUUAUUAUCAUAAAAAGUAUAUAUUAAUUAUUAUGUUGUUUGAGCAUUUACUUUUUAAAAUUUAAAUAUUUGGUUAAUAUAUAAUUUACUGUAUUAAAUUAAAUAUUAUACAUAUACUGUAUUUAUUUUCUGAGAAUUUAAUCAAAUUAUAUUUUUUUAAAAAUAACCUUUUUAAAAAUAUACUUGUCAAAAAAUUAACUUUUCUGAAAAUAAACUAUUUUGAACUAGACUUUAAUAGAAAUAUAUUAGAAAGAUAAUGAAUAAAUUAUUAUUUUAAAAAGAUAAAUAACUUUAUAUUUAUGGGAGUGAAGAAAUAAAAAAUAUUCAUGUUCAAUGAGCAUUAAUAAAUGAAAUAUUGCACUUAUUAGAAAAACCAUCAAAUCCCAAUAAUUAAUUUGAUUAUAAAUAGAUUUAUUAUUGAUCUUAUUAAUUAGGUUUUUAACUUUAUAAUUCAUCUUAUUGUUACGUCAGAACAUUGUGAUUGAUAAUAAAAUAAAGGUAAAUUUACUAUAUAGUGCUUGUUCCCCUUUUGUUUAUCCAUUUCAAAUUACAGAUUGAUUUUUCUUUUUAAGAUAAUUUAUAAUAAUUUAAUAUAACCUCUUUCCUUACCCUUUUAAACCCAAUUCCACAACUAGCAGCUCAUUUCCAAAGAAGCAUCAACUCCUCUCUACUGAAACCACCCAUAUCAGAACCUCAUUCCCACAUUUCCUGAGUUCUAGUCCAAACCAGCAAUCUCUGCUCCACUUCAACCUCACAACCGCAACCUACCCACAACAACCUUACCCUUUUUGUUUCUCAAAACUAUAAUCGAUAGACCCAUGGCUCCUACCUCUGUUUCGCUUUCCUCCAUAAUGCCAAACAAUCAAUUCUUCUCAAACCCAUUUGUGAGCACCAAAUCAGUGAACUGAGCCCUUUGUUCUAUGUUCCUCUCUCAUAUUGAUUUCUAUUUUAAUGUAUAAGUCUUUGCAGGAUUAGGGUUGAAACUUACUGGUUGAGUAUUUCAACCAUUUCACUUGCUCCCUUUUGAGGAUUAGGAUUGAAAUGGAAACAUUAAAUAUUAUCUUGUCAAAUAGAGUCUGAGCACGUUAUACAAAGAAUAAUCAUUUUCUAUUAAUAAUUUUUAACAUCAAACUUGUUAAAUAAUAAUUGGAAAUGUUUAAAUUUGAAAUGGUGCAUGUCUUGAAAGUAAAACAAGCUUAAACAACGACAAACAAAAACAAGCAUCAUUUUUUUACUAUUUUAAUACAAAAUAUAAAAAUAUAUAAUAUUAUCUUUAAUUUUUUAUAAUAUUUUUAACAUUAAAAAAAUAUUCUAUUUAUAUUCUCUUUUCUUAAUAUUAUAUUAUUUAUUUUACUUUAAUCUUAUUUAUUCAUUUCAUAUUAUUUUAUAUAUUCACUCUAUAUAUUUAUAUAUAUUUUUUUUUCUUUCAAUAUUUAAUUGAGAAGAAUUUUUAUAAAAAAUUAUGAAAUUUUGAAUUUUAUUAUAAAUUAAUAAAAAAAUUUUAAAAAAUUAAAUAAAACUACAACGGUGUCACGCCAAAUAUAAUAUGAAAUCUUGUUGUAUUUUAGUGUUGUGUUGGAGAUUAUUUUCAAUGGUAAAAUAAAAUUUGAUAAUGAAAAUGGGUUUAGCGCGAUAAAAACAACACAAACCAGUACAUAAAGUUACUAUGAAAGCCAUCAAAAAAAAGAAACUUGAUAUCACAACAUUUUCAUUUUUAUAUAGGCAUGGAAGAACCAAUUUGAGACAACAGUGGCACUUUAAUACAUAUUCCUCCAUUCUUUCAAACUUUAGAUAGUUAAUAAGGAAUGUAAACUUUCAGAUAACAAAUUCUGAUAAGUAAGACCACAAUCAUAUAUUAGUAAGUAAAACUCACUUACAAACCCAAGUUCUAUAAAAAUUUCAAAAUUAUAUCGAUUGAGCUGCUGGAAUUAAACCGGCUCAAUAUUAGCCACAGGCUUCCUCCACUGCCGAAGACAAAGAAAAAUCAAACAACCAAAAUAGAAACUUCAAUCCAAAUCUAAAUAUAGAAAAUGACAAGAAGAAUAAAAUCCAAACCCUCUUCACAAACGCUUUGUUUUUUCUUAACGCUUCUUUUUUCUUUCUUUCAAACCUUCCGUUCUCAUUCAAUUCCAUUUCAAUUUAAAUACUUAUCUAAUUUAUUUAUUUUAAUGUUUAAUUUACUAUAAUAUCUCUUAAUUUGAAAAUAUUGCCCCUCUUUUUUUAUAAGAAAGGACUUUAUAAAAAACUAAAAGUUAAAUAAAAUAACAAAAUAAUACUACAAUUAAAACAAUAAAAGAAAACUCAAUCAACAAAACAAAAGCAGCCAUCCAUCAACCUAAUAAUUUAUCAAAUUAUUGUUAUGACGAAUAGUAGAUGUGUAAUUGUGCACGUGCCUAUUUUAUGAUUAAAAUAAAUAAGAUUUUGUUAUAUUAUAUUGGUAAAUGGUAUUUGACCACGUGAUUAAUAAUCAUGUUUUUUGACAUCACAUACGGUUAAAACUGGAGAAAAAAACAAAAGCACGCGCUGAAUGUAUCUGCAACAAGCACGGCGGAGUGGAUGGGCGGCAACUACCAGUUUUCUAAAAUUGUUUUUACUGCAAAAUCAUAACGCCGCCGCCUUCGAAAACGAAGGCCCAUCACUGGAUUGCAAGGGCACUGUCUGCCAGAUGCUCAUCUCUUUGAAUUCAUCAUCCUCAGUUACAAAUUUAAUACACAACACCCAACUUUAAACGACAGCUACGUUGCUAAUAAAUAUCUAUCAAUUAAUUUAAAAUUAAAAUACUUUUCAUCCACUUUUAUGUUAUUUAAAUAUGGGAUAAUUGAAAAAAUAUACUUUAGGAUUAAUUGUAAUUCUGCCUAAUAUUUUUAAAAAAUAGUUAAUUUAAAUUUAUUUUUUAAAUAUUUAAAAAUUAUACUUAAUCAUUAAACUUUUUAUUAAUUUAUUAAUAAAAAUAUCAUAUAAUCAUAAUAUCAUAACAAUAUAAUAUAAUAGAAUAUAAUUAUUUAUAAUUAUAUCAUAUAUUUUAAAAAUAAUUAAAUUAAUUUUAUAUUUUUAAAAUUUUCACUAAUUAUAUCAACUAUUAAAAUAUUAUUAAUUUAUUAUUAUAUCAUUAAUAAAAACACUAUAUAAUCAUAUCAAAUACUAUAAAAUUGGUUAAAUGGUGAAAUUUAUUUUCAAAUUAUAUAAUAAAUUAAAAUAUUAAAUUUUAUUUUUUAAUCUAAAUUUAUCUUUAAAUUAUUUUUAAAAUAUUAAAUAAGACAUCGUUUGUCUAUUUUUUUUAAUUUUUAAUCAAUUUGAUCUUAUUUGAUUUUUUAAUAAUAAUUUAUAGGUAAAUUUAAAUUGAAAAAUAAAGAAUUUAAUAUUUUUAAUUCUUACCAUAAAUUGCAAAUUUAAUAUUUUUAUUUAAAAUUUUUAUAAUUUUAAUAAUUAUUUUAUAAAUAUAAUUUUUAUAUAAUUAUAAAUAUUUCAUAUUAUAUUAUAAUGAUAUGAGUAAUUAAUCGAUAUUUUUUCCAUAAUAAAUAUGGAUAAGAAAUUUAAAUAAAAUUUUUUUUAAUAAAAUUAAAAUAAAAAAAUAUCAAUGAUAUAAUAACGUCACAAUGAUAUAAUAUUUUUAUUUUUUAAAAAAAAACAUAACAUUUUUAUUAAUAAAUAAAUGGUUUUCUGUAUCGAUUUUAUGUAAUUGAUAAAAAUUUAAAAAUAUAUAAUUAAAUUGAUUAUUUUUAUACUAUACAAAGUUGAAUUAUAGAAAGAUUUAUAUUUUAGUUUUUGAGUAUUGUUAUUAUUAAUAAGUUAGUCCCUAUAUUUUUUAAAAUUUAUGAAAACAUCCUUAUUUUUUUUUUCGUCAACGAAAUAUUAUUUUUGUCAUCUUCUCUGUUCAAAAUAGAUAAAGGAUGCGAAAAAAAAAUUUUAAAAUUCAAUUUUACCCUCAAAUAAAAUCUCUUAUUUAGUUUUGGAUAUUGCUACUAUUAACAAGUCAGUCCUAUAUUUUUAAAGAUCUAUUAAACCGUUAUUAUCUUUUUUCAUAUAUAUCUAUUAAAACGCACUUAUCAUUUUUUUCUGUCAACGAAAUAGUCCCUUCUUCUCCUAAAAAAGAAGAAGAAAAAUAAAAAGAAUAUGAAGAAGAUGAAGAAGAAAAAGAAAAAGAAGAAAAAAAAUCUCUUCCUCUUAAAGAAUAAGAAUAAAAAGAAAAAUAAAAAAAGAAUUAAAUAAAAAGAAGAAUCAAUGAAAAAGGAGAGGCGGAGGAGGAGGAAAAUAAUGGGGUAAUUUGUAGGGCUGAGCAAAAUCCGGUUCAAACCGAAAAAACCGACCGAACCGAACCGAUUUGAAAAUUUGGUUCGGUUUUUUAUAUAUUUCGGUUCGGUUCAGUUUUAAAUUUCAGAAAUUUUGGUUAUUUCGGUUCGGUUCGGUUUUGAUCAGAAAAAAACCGAAAAAACCGAACUGAACCGAUUAGGGAUAAUAAUAUAUUUUUUCAAUAAUAUAGAGAAAUUAAAUUAUAUUAAAAUUAAAAUAUUUUAAUUAAAUUUUAAAAUACUAAAAAUAAAGUGUAAAAAAUUAAAAAAAUAUUAAAAAUCGAAACCGAUUAAACCGAACCGAAUCGAACCGAAUCAGACCGGUUCGGUUCGGUUCGGUUUCUGACCAAAAUCGGUUCGGUUCGGUUUUCAUAAAAACUAAAAUUUCGGUUUUCGGUUUAUUCGGUUCGGUUCGGUUUUGAACCGAACCGACCGAAUGCUCACCCCUAGUAAUUUGGUCUUUUGCUGUAUUUUUAACGGUAGAAAUGAAAUGAAAAAAUAUUUUUGUUUAUAAAUAUAGAGUUAUUAAUAAUGGUAAUACUCAUAAAUUAAAUUAUAAAUUUCUCAUAAUUAUAUAAUAUAAUUUUUUAUAAUUAUUUUAUAUUAUAUUAUAAUAAUCGUACGAAAAUAUGAUAACGAUGGAGUGAUGAUAUAGUAAUUUUUGUGAUGAUAUAACAAUUUUAUUAGUGAAUUAAAAUUUUAAUAAUUAGAUAUAAUUUUUAAAAAUUUAAAAAUAUAAACUUAAAUUAAUUAUUUAAAAAAAAUAAAAUAAAAUUAUAAAGAAAUAUAAACUAUAAGAUUUUUUUAAUCAUUAUCCUUCCGAAGAUUUAAAAAAAAAAAGAUAUUUUGUUCAUAAAAGGCAAAAAUGUCAAAUUACAAUACAAGUCCAAAGAAAAGUUGAGAGUUCAAAUCCUAAAAAAAUUAAUAGAAAAAAGCCAGAGAACCCUAGACUCAUUGACUUGAAUACUUCCCAAUCCUACAAAAGUAAAAAAAGAAGAUUUUUUACCAUGCAGGACUAUAAAGAUUUAUAAAUAUCUCUCUAAGCAAAGAAUUUUCUUUUUUUUUCUAAAAAAAAAAAAAAUCCACUUAGAAGAAGUCAUAUAGAUUCAACCGAAAGUUUCACUGAAUUCUGAUGAGAAUUAAUAUUUGAAAUUUAAAAGAAGGUUGAAUAAUUUUUAUGAAGCAAAGUUAAAUUUAAUGAUCGUACUGAAAUAAUCAUUAAAAUUUAAUAACCACAUAUAAUAAUUUAAUAUUCUUAUAUGUGAAUCGAUUUUUUCAAAUAUUAUUUUAGUUAACAGAAUGUAAUGUUAUUAUGUUAGUGAUUAAAUAGUUUGUUAUUAAAAAUAGUAAGGAUUAAAUUGUAAAUUUCAUCAAAUUAUUAGGGCCAAACCAAUAAAUAUUCUAAAUACUAAAACAUCUUAUAAGUUUUUUUUUUUUUUAACUAAAAAAAUUGAAAUUCAACUUAAAAUAACUCUCCAUAUUAUAGUGGCCUACAUUUUCCCUUCUUUCUAUUUCGUUAGAUGAAGAUUAAUACAAUAAAUAACAAUAUUCUUCAUUAAUUUUUUUAAAAGAUUAUUCUAAAAAUUGUUAGUUCAUCAACUAUUAAAUAUUUAUUAAUACUAAAAAUAAUUAUGUAUUUUUUCCUUUAAUGAGUGGUUUAUUAAUUAUUAAUUUUAAUAAUUUAAAUAAAAAUAUAUAAUUUAUUUAGAUAAAUUAAGUUCAUAAUAAACCAAAACACAUGAAUAUGAAUAUAUAUAAUUUUUUAUAAAUAGACUCAUAUUUAUAUAUUUUAAAUUUAUGUAAAUCAAAUUUAAAUAAAAUUUUCUCUUUUAUUACUAAAGUUAUUUUAAUUUAUUUUUUAAGUAGUCAUGGCCAAAUACAUUGAAUUGUGAAAAUAGAUAAUUUAAAAUUAUCAUAUUAUUAAAUUUCUAAAUAUAAAAGAUAAUUAAAUUGGAUUCUUUCAUCUUUCUGUUUGGCUACAAUACAAAAAAUCAUUAAUAAGAAUGACAUGAAUAGCAAGCAAUUUGAUCAAUUAUUAAAUAUUGAGAAAAAUUACAAAUUAAGCCUUUUCACGAUAUUAUAUAUAAAAUAAAAAAUUGGUCAUGAUUAAACUUUCUAAAUAAAGUAAAAUAUUUUUUAUUUAAUUUAAAAAAUUAUAAAAAAAUUAAGAAAAAAACUAUGACAUCCUUAAAAGAUAUUGAAAUUCAAUAUAUUUAUAAAUGAAUAUAAUUUUAGUAAAUAUUGUAAACCCACCGACCCGUUUUGGUCGGCGGUGAGAAGUGCGGCGGUAGGCGAGGCAAGGAGCUUGACCCGUUGCAGAGACUAAACCCACCGACCCGUUCGUACGCAUUUUACACGCGCAAAAUAUAUGGCCGGAGAAGGUAUAACGUAACGGCCUUUUCAGUUACGGCUUACAUGACAGCUUUUUUUUUUUUCCGGUUGCAAUAACUUUAUUAUUUCUUGAAGUUUGGUCUUCAAUAACUCUUCAAACGGGUGAAUUAUAUCUCUAUUACAUCAACAUAAAAAGUUUGUAACGGCAUGAUAUUUAAAUUUAAAUUCUAUUUAUUUAAUAGAAAUUAUUUUUAAAAAAAUAUUUUUAAUAUUUAAAACAGUUAAAAAUUUUAAUCAAUAAAAAAUAUUUUUUAAUAAAAAAAUAAAUCAUUCUAAAGAAAAUAACUUCAUCUUUAAUAAAAAAAUUAUUUUGUAUACUUUAAUACUUUUAUAUAAGUUUCGACGUAUAAAUUUUUUAACAAAUUUUAUUUUUUAAAUUAAAAUUAAGUAAUAAAAAAUAAAUUAUCUUAUAAAAUAUUUUUUUAUAAAAAAUAUUUUUUAAAUAAAAAUUAUUUUUUACAAAGAAAAGAUUUAGUUAUGAUUUAUAUUCAUAAGAAAAUUUUUGUAUAUAAUUUCUCUCUAAAGGGCACGUUUUUUCUCACAGCAUCAGAUGCAUAAUAUAUUAUAAUAUUAUUACAACCACUUAUCAUGGGAAACGUGAAGGGAUUAGAUUUCACAUAAAAAAAAAAAAACAAUGAUCACUAUGAAUUAAUAUGGAAAUGAAUUUUAUAUUAUUAAAUGAGAUAUUUUAUUAUAAANNNNNNNNNNNNNNNNNNNNNNNNNNNNNNNNNNNNNNNNNNNNNNNNNNNNNNNNNNNNNNNNNNNNNNNNNNNNNNNNNNNNNNNNNNNNNNNNNNNNNNNNNNNNNNNNNNNNNNNNNNNNNNNNNNNNNNNNNNNNNNNNNNNNNNNNNNNNNNNNNNNNNNNNNNNNNNNNNNNNNNNNNNNNNNNNNNNNNNNNNNNNNNNNNNNNNNNNNNNNNNNNNNNNNNNNNNNNNNNNNNNNNNNNNNNNNNNNNNNNNNNNNNNNNNNNNNNNNNNNNNNNNNNNNNNNNNNNNNNNNNNNNNNNNNNNNNNNNNNNNNNNNNNNNNNNNNNNNNNNNNNNNNNNNNNNNNNNNNNNNNNNNNNNNNNNNNNNNNNNNNNNNNNNNNNNNNNNNNNNNNNNNNNNNNNNNNNNNNNNNNNNNNNNNNNNNNNNNNNNNNNNNNNNNNNNNNNNNNNNNNNNNNNNNNNNNNNNNNNNNNNNNNNNNNNNNNNNNNNNNNNNNNNNNNNNNNNNNNNNNNNNNNNNNNNNNNNNNNNNNNNNNNNNNNNNNNNNNNNNNNNNNNNNNNNNNNNNNNNNNNNNNNNNNNNNNNNNUUUUUUUUUUUUUUUUUUUCCUUUUUUUAAAUAAGUCUAAUUAAAAUUAUAUACUUUUAAAUCUAAUUUAUUUUUUUUCUAAAUAAAUUUCUUAACUUUACUUUUAAGCCAAAUAAAUCUUGAUCUACUAAAAUAUUAUUUUUAAUAAUAAAUUAAUAUUUUUAAUAGUAAAAUUCCAUUUUUAUAAGUCUAAAAUUUAUUUAUUAUUUCUAUAUUUUUAAUUUUUAUAUUAAUUUUUAAAAUAUUAAAUUUUUAAUAUUUUAAGUUAUAAAAAUAAUAUUUUAUUAUUAAAAAAAUAUUAUAUUAAUCAUACUCGGGCUCAUACAGCUUGUUUUGAGUCUGAUAUCCAAAAGUAGGGUUAUGUCCCUCCGGCUUUCUUAAUUAAUGUUCUCUUAUUUAAUAGUCCUUAAUAAAUUUGAUCUUUUUAUUUAAAAAAAACUUUCAUAUUAGUAUUGAUAAAUCAAUUAAAUUGAGAGAGUUUAUACAAAUAAAUUAUCUUAAAAAGUUAAAUUUUAAAAGUUACCGAAUAAUGUUAAAAAAACUAAAAAUAAGUAAAUUUACGGCUUAGUAGACCAAACUCGUUGUGGGGGUAUAGUUUGUUGUAAAUAGAAGAGGGCAAAAUAAAUAAAAAAUCUCGUUUUUUUAUUAUUUUAAAAUUAUUAUUUAUUUUUUUACUAUAAUAAUAUAUAAAUUGAUUAUUAUAAUUUUAUUUAAUUUUAUAUUACUUUUUAAAAAAUAUUUUAAAAUAUUUUUUAAUAUUUAAUAAAACUUAAUGUAUUUAAAAUUAAUAUAAUAAAAAAUUUAAUAAAAAAAUAAUAUUUUUUAAUACAUGUAAAAAAUAAGAUAAAUAAAAAUUAUAAAAGAGGAGAACAGUGUUGAUCCUAAAAAUUGAGUAUUAAAAUUUAGAACCGCUAAAAAGUAAAAUUGAUCACUAAAUUAUAUAGCAGGAGAAAACUCUUAAAUUUUAUUUUUUAUUAAUUUGAUAUUAUAUGAAACUUUUAAACGGUAAAUUAUUACCGUAAAAUAGAUUUAUGCAAUAGGAAUAUGAUAUGUGGGUAACACAAUUUUGUAUAAAAAAAUAAGAUCGAAACACCAUAACAUUCAAUUCAUCAUUAGAAAAACCCUUAUUUAGAUAGGUCGAGUCUCGAUAUAAAGUAAUUGUUAUCAAAUAUAGUCCAAUAUAUUCAUAUUAUACAUGUUAUAGCAGGAUGAUUGACUUAUUUGCUGUCGAUAUUUUUUAUCGGACAGCCGACUGCUUAUCGUCUGAUUAUUAAAAAAUUCUAUACUUAUCUCUAUUUUUCUUACAAAUAGAAAAAUCAUAAAGGUAAAUAUGCGCUAUUCUCUUACGCUACUAUUCUGAAUUCUAAAUAUUAUACUCGUAAUUCUCUUUAUCUUGAGUUGGAAUAGCUGUCAUAAGUAUCCAGCGCCUCAAAUUUUCUUUUUUACAAAUUUAGCCAAUUAUAGCACAGUUCCACCUCGAUCACAUUAUUAAUUUAGUUUGAAUUUAUUAUUAAAAAAUUAAAUAAAAUUGUCACUUACCAAAAUUUAAAAAUUUAAAUCACGCUCUACUUAAUCUAUUUAAUUUUAUUUAAAUAUAUUUAACUUUUUAAUAAUAGUCCACAUAAUUUUUAUUUAAUCAAAAAAUAAAAAUCGGUGAUAAAUUUGACACUUUUACCGUUUACAAGAUAGCUUUGCUAGUGGAUGAGGUCUUUGAAUUACGAUCUCUACAUAUGCAUAUUGAUGAGAUAUUUUUUUUUUUUUAUAUAUAAUGAAAAUAUUAUGUAAUUUAUCAGUUAUAUUUAAAAUGUUAUAUUUUUUUCAUUAAAAAAAAACUAACAUGAAAAAAUUUAAUAUUAAUUAUUGAAUAAACUUAUCAAUACGUUUUUUUAAACGAGGAUCGGAAAUUAAAAAAGUAAAAUUUAAAAUUUCUCGGAUUUAUUUAGAUACACUUACCACUAAAUGCAGUCUCUUAGCUUCAACUGAUUUAAUUGUUGAUAAUAUAAUGGAAUAUAAUCAAAAUUUAUAUUAAAAUUUAACUAAAUUUACAUAUAUUUAUAUCUCUUUAUCAAUAUAAUAUGAUCUAAAUAAUAAACCCACAACUACCACAAAUUUACUCCUCAACAACAUGCCUUAUAUGCAAUUAAAAAAAAAUCUAAGACAACUUGGUCAUAUUUUAUAAACAUAUUAUAAAUUAUUUAGAGCCCAUAAUAAAAAAAAUAAUUUACCACAAAUUAAAUUAGUAUAUUGAGGAAAUCUCUAUAGUAUCUUUAAAACAAAUUUAAAAUUUAAGAGAAGUUUUAUCUUUUUUUUUCUUAUUAAAUUUAUUUCACCAUGUCUUAUAUGAUUAAUUAAAAAAAUAUUUUAGUUAUCUAAUUUAAUGGAUAGUACUGAAUAGCAUGUUGGGAAGGAAUAUAGUCAAUAACUGAAUAAUUGAUUCAUUAUCUAGAAAAUCUUUUUAUAAAAAUUGGUACAAUUUUUGCUUAAAUUCGUUGUAUGCAAAUUUUAAAUAUAAGUAUAAAGUUUUAUUUAUUUAUUUUUACAUAUACCGUGGGUGCAAAAUGAGACACUUAUAUUUUUUUAAGAAAUUUAUAAUUUAAUUAUUGAGUAUUAUUAUUAUUAACAAGACAGUUCAUGUAUUUUUAAAAACUUAAUUAAAAUUUUUUUUUUCGUCAAUAAAAUAGUUAUUUCAUUUAUUUUUACAGUUAAAAAUAUAGCAAAAUACUAAAUUACCCUCAUUCUCCUCCUCCUCCUCAUUUAUUUUUCCUCCUCCUCCUUAUUAUUGAUUUUUCCUACUCCUCCGUCUUCAUUGAUUUUUUCUCCUCCUCUUUUUUAUUCUUCAUUGAUUUUUCCUCAUUCUCUUAUCCUUUGGUUCUUUUUCGAUUUUUUUUUUUAUUCUUCUUCUUUAAGGAGGAGGAGUAAAUUCUUAUUCUUCUUUUUUUUUCUUCAUCAUCUUUUUCUUCUCCUUCUUUUUCUCCUUCUUUUUUUUCUUCUUAUUCUCCUUCAUCAUCAUCAUAUUCUUCUCUUUUUUUUCUUUUUUUUAAGCAGGAGGAGGAAGAAAGAAUAUUUCUUUGAUGAAAAAAAAAUGAGAAUAAUAUUUUAAUAGAUAUACGAAAAGAUAAGAAUAUUUUAAUAGGUAUAAGAAAAAAUAAAAAUAUUUUAAUAGAUAUAAAGAAAGAUAAAAAUAUUUUAAUAGAUUUUUAAAAAUAUAAAGACUAACUUAUUAAUAAUAAUAAUAUUUAAGAAUUAAAUAAAUAAUUUUAUUUUAGUGUAAAAUUAAAUUUAAAAAAUUUUAUUUUUUUAUCUUUUAUUUAAUUUUAACAGAAAAAAGAUGAAAGAAUUAUUUUAUUUAUGAAAGAAAAAAAAAUUUUAAUGAUUUUUUAAAAUUAUAAAAAUGUUAAUAACAAUAAUAUUUAGUGUUUAAAUUAUAAUUUUUUUUAUUUUUUUUAAUAUCGAUUACCGUGUGUUUUUUUUCAAGUCUUAAUUUUUUUGAGAAAAAAACAAAAAUAAUGCAUGUCUUUCACGAUUCUGUAUCAGAGCAAAAGAAGCUUUUUGAAGGGCAAUGCUCCCCACCACUAUAAAUAAUCAUAGACCCUCACCCCCACCACUCGCUCACCACAUUAUUUAAUUUUCUGCCUCUUAUUCCCAUAACCAAAAUCUCCCAAUUGUAUCUCCAAUAUCUCUGCAACGCAGCACCGUCAGCUUCUACUUCGCCACCAUCCUCAUGGCUUCCUCAGCCCUCCCUUCUCCUUACCUCCAAUCUCAAUUCCAGCCUCUCAGAAGCUCAUCUAAGCCCUCCUCUCGAAGAUCCUUUGUCUUGCCAAUCAAAGCCUCUAUUUCUGAUAAACCAUCUAUUGCUGCCUCACCGCCGUCUGUUUCCCCAGUUGAACCUUCCAAACUCCCUCUUCGCAAAAUCCCCGGCGAUUAUGGCCUCCCUUUUAUCGGACCCAUCAAAGAUCGACUUGAUUAUUUUUACAAUCAAGGGAAAGAAGAGUACUUCAAAUCUAGAGCUCAAAAGUACCAGUCAACGGUGUUCAGGGCCAAUAUGCCUCCUGGUCCUCUCAUAGCUUCCAAUCCACACGUGGUCGUUUUGCUUGAUGGGAAGAGCUUUUCUGUUCUUUUCGAUGUAACUAAGGUCGAAAAGAAAGAUCUUUUCACUGGUACUUUCAUGCCCUCCACAGAUCUCACCGGCGGCUACAGAAUUCUCUCUUAUCUUGACCCGUCCGAGCCGAAGCAUACCCAACUCAAGAACUUCUUGUUCUAUCUCUUGAAGGCUCGCCGGGAUCAUGUAAUCCCUGAGUUCAGUUCAACUUAUACCGGGCUGUUUGAGAGCUUGGAGAAGGAUCUUGCGUCAAAGGGUAAAGUCGGUUUCAACGAUCCCGGCGAGCAAGCGGCGUUUAGCUUCUUGGGCCGGUGUUACUUCGGUGUAGACCCUGUGAAUACUAAAGUUGGGACUGAUGGACCUUCUCUGAUAGCUAAAUGGGUACUGUUUCAACUUGCUCCGAUACUCACACUUGGCCUUCCUGCGUUUAUUGAAGAACCCACCAUCCACACCUUCCGGCUACCUCCUCAGCUCGUCAAAAAAGAUUACCAGCGACUCUACGAUUACUUCUACUCCUCCGCCGGAUCCCUCCUUGACGAGGCUGAGAAGAUGGGUCUCUCGCGAGAAGAAGCUUGUCACAAUAUCCUUUUUGCCACUUGCUUUAACACCUUCGGAGGCCUUAAGAUCUUUUUCCCGAACAUACUCAAGUGGAUCGGUCGUGCAGGAGUGAAGCUUCAUACCCAAUUAGCCCAAGAGAUCAGAUCAGUCCUUAAAUCCAACGGAGGACAGAUCACGAUGGCUUCUCUGGAACAGAUGCCACUGAUGAAAUCCGCUGUGUACGAAGCAUUCCGUAUCGAACCGCCGGUACCAGCACAGUACGGGAAAGCAAAGCGUGAUUUGGUCAUCGAGAGUCACGACGCAGCUUUUGAAGUAAAAGAAGGUGAAAUGAUAUUCGGGUACCAACCAUUCGCGACGAGAGAUCCGAAAAUAUUCGACAGACCCGAUGAGUACAUUCCGGAUCGAUUCGUCGGCGACGGAGAAAAGUUAUUGAAGCACGUGCUGUGGUCAAACGGACCAGAGACAGAGCAUCCAACGGUGGGAAACAAACAGUGCGCGGGUAAAGAUUUCGUGGUAUUUAUCUCAAGACUUUUCGUGGUUGAAUUAUUUCGACGAUACGAUUCGUUUGAAAUUGAAGUUGGAUCAUCGGCGUUGGGGUCUUCCAUCACCAUUACGUCGUUGAAGAGGGCGAGUUUUUAAGGCGGCUGUGGAAUAGUAAUUAAAGAAGAAAAUUUAUAGGAAAAACUCGGAGUCGUCUUCACAGAUCUCGACUUCAACAUCAGUUCAAAUUAAUUAUAUGUAAAAAAAAAUCGUAGGAUGUCUCAGCGCAGGCAUGUUUGUAAUAAUUGAACUAAAAUUUGCAGGGGGGCAAGGAUGUCGGGGUGGUGAAAGGGAUCUUUGCUUCUCUAUCAAUUAUAAUUUACAAUCUUCAUGUGCAGUGGAGAUUGAAUGGGAUGUUCUUUAAUUUAUGAAAUGUAAUUGUUGAUUUUGCCCCGUUGGACUAAUAAAAUUAGUAAUUUCUUUUUUCUGAAUAAAUUGCUAUUUAAUUUUUAAAUUAUAUAAAAUUAAUGUCUUUUAAUUUUUAAAAAUUUAAUUAUUAAUGACAAAUUCAAAGAUAAUUAUUAAAAAUAAUUUUUAUAAAAUACUUUUAUCAUUCCAUCUAAUUUUUUCGUGAAUCGGUUGCGUCAACGUUUUUCCAUAUCUUCUUUUAGAAUGACCAUCGAUUUCCAUUUUUAAGUCUUAUUUUUAUUUUUAAAAGAAAAUUUUCGUUAUUAUUAAUAAAUUAUUAUUAAAAAGUCAAAUAGAUUGAGGAAAAAAAAUAGAUAAACAAUGUCUUAUUUAACAUUUUUAAAAACAAGUCUUUUUUUUUUUUUG
This 45673-nucleotide long non-coding RNA is filed under the name Manihot esculenta (cassava). RNAcentral's name for it is "long non-coding RNA (MESC_LNC003024)". The record is from RNAcentral. Lineage: Eukaryota; Viridiplantae; Streptophyta; Magnoliopsida; Malpighiales; Euphorbiaceae.